UUUUUUUUUUUUUUUUUUUUUUGUCAAUCGUCAACCCUACUCCUAUUUCUACUCUAUUCUAACCUAACUAGAGGGGAGACCCAACUGGGCCUAUGGGGGGACCGAUGAGGACAGAACCACCACCAGACCAGAUGGGUGCACCACGCACCCAUCUGGAUUUUUUGAAGAACCCCAACUGUGGCAAAUUGGUGGGAGGCAAGGUUCGAACCCUUGCCUCCCACCCCACCAAAGCCUUAAAGGCUUGGUGGUGGCCAUCAGCCUAAGGCUGAUGGUUUAAUAGCCUUUCUAGUUGCUGAAUAUUUUUUUGUUUGUGGGGUUUUGCGGCUACUCAAAUGGGACUGGGAAUCCCACAAUUAUUGUACAGGAAGCGGUUUAGGACAAUCUGACCUACAACAUUAAAGAACUUUCUAGUUGCUGAAUACUUUCCGGAAUGUUGUCUUUUAAGGCUUUAAAUUAAACUAACCAACAAAUGAUAAUCGAGUCACUGCUUCAUGAAUGUCCAGUGUCCUUAUCGUUAAUUGCUAUGGGGUACUUUGCUCAAAUCUGGGACUUAUAAAGUAAUUAGCGAAUUUCAAAAUAUAUUAAUACAACUAUUAGUGAUAAAUAGCUAUGCAAAUUACGUAACAUGUAUAAGAAUUUCCACAAAUAAUUAGUGCUCCUAUUUAAUGGAAGAAACAACAUUGGGAAUCCAAAUAUUAUUUUUCAUUUACUUCUGCAACUGAUACAUAAAAACCUUAUACUCCCUCCGUCCCACUUUGACAGUUCUGGUUCUUUUUUUACACAGUUUAAAAAAAAGUAGUUAAUUUUAUUGGAACAAUCAAUUUAGGUAGCUAUUUUCCUAAAAUACCCUCACAUUAAUUAGAGUACAAUUUUAUGAGAACUUGAAUUGAUGGUAAAAAAGGAAUAAACUCUCAUUAAAUGGGGUAGGUUUAUAGUAAAAACAACUUACAUUGAAUAAGGGCAUUUUAGAAAAAUUAAAAUGCAACUAUAUUCUUCAAUCGGAAAGUGGACUACAAUUUGGGACAGACGAAAAAGGAAAACAGGACUAUCAAAGUGGGACGGAGGGAGUAUUCUUUUAAGUACCAGAAUUCACAGUUAAAACAAAAAAAACAUAGAAUUUAACAUCAUUUUCCACUAAUUGAUUUCACUUUUCAAAGCAAACCCAAAUUCGCCAAGCAUUUGAAAUGGGUGAGAGACCAAUUAUGUAAUCUUGGACUAAUACAAUACAAACCUACUAAUCAUAAUGAACUAUUUAUUGGUCUUGUAGUUUUCCAAUGACAAGUUUUUUCCCCCUGGCUGCCUCAUUAUCUUGCCUCUAUUAAUGUAGAAAUGUCCUUCAAAAGCCUGAGUACAUUAAACUCAUGAACUCAACUUGCUACCAUCCUUUCUUUAACUCAUGAAUGAGAAUUAAGUAUUUUUGGAAACAUUCUCAUCCUCUCCUUUUCUUUCCUUUUUUCAGAAGGUCUUCCUCCUUCGAAGGGAGACUAUCAUGGUCUUCUUUCCAUAGAUUUCGUAUUAUUUUAAUCUUUAAUAAAGUCUUUCCUAAAUUUUCUUUGUGAGAACUCUCUGUGUUUUUAAGGAUUUCUAAUGAGAAUUUUAUGUUUAUCUUAAUGGUUUAUUUCAGAUCUUGUCGCCAAAUUUGAUUUUUUUUUUAAAUUUUGGAUCUUACUCAACAAAUCUCAUCAUCAUUAUGGAAAUUUAAAAUUAUUGAUUAGUAGAUUUGAUGAUUGUGACAUGGACGGAAGGGAAUUACAGUGAUUUAUCUUAUUAGUAGACAACGUCAAAUUUUUCUGUAUAUUUUAGAUCUAUUGAAAAAAAAAUUUAAAAUCUGUUGUAUAUCAGUUAAAUUGCAGAUAUGAUCUAUUAUUUCUAGUACAUAACAAUGUAAAUCAAAUUGCGUUAGACGAUUUUCAACAAUUGAUUAAUAAAAUUUUCUUUUAUUAAAAAACAUACAACCAUUCUUUUUAAUGGACGACAAUUUUGAAGCAUCGAUGUGAACAGGUGACCAUAUUCCUUGAACUUAAACUUCAUAGCCCUACAUCAAAAUCUUACAUAGUGGCUACGAUUUUUGAACCUAUCUAAUUCUAAUGUAGACAUCUUUAAAAUAAAAAAAGUUGCCGUGGGGAAAAUGAUACAAUAGAAUUCGUCGAUGAUCCUUGACCCGCAUAAGGUAGGUAUAACAUGAGUGAUCCAGAGAAGCUUUCGACUUGUCGCAGUCAAACGUUUUGUCAUUCAUUACGAAACUGAUAACAGAUGUUCUCUUGUGGUCUGUAUAUCAGCACAUGGAUGGUGGUGAACACAAAAACUCAAUGCGCAGAUUCAUCGAUCCAAAGACGAAAAAACAUUUUCCGGAUGCCAGAAUUAAACAUGCACCACAACAAAAUUGAAAAAUGAUGAAUUGAAAUUCUUUUUAUAUUAACACGAUAAUUCUUAUUUUACUCCAACUCCUCUUCUACAUUAAGAGGAAAGGAAUAGACCCGAAAGGGUCGACGAGAAUCAGAAAGGACUAAAUCAUCACUAAGCUUGAUGGGUGUCUUUCAAAAAAGUUUGAAUAAAACUGCAAGUACAGGAGAUUUCAUUCCUAGGGAUGGCAAUUGAUCGACGCCCGUCCCACGCCGCAGGGCUAAUGGGACUGGAUGGUAGGGGAAAUUUUUUUCCCCAUUAAAAAAUGGGAUGGGGAGCGGGAGAGUAUACCCCCACUCCAUUCCUUGCUGUGCCACCUGUUAAAAAAAAUUAAAUAUAUAUGUGUGUGUAUAAAAUUGGGGAGCGGGAAAGUAUACCCCCACUCCAUUCCCUGUUGUGCCACCUGUUAAAGAAAAUUAAAUAUAUAUAUAUGUGUGUGUAUAAAAUUAGUUACAAACUCGUAAUAAUGAUAUUAUUAGUUAUAAGUAUUAUAUAAUUUAUAUUAGUAUAUAUAAUAUAAUUGAUAUUAUCAAUUAUAUUAAUAAUUAUACAUGCGUACUAAUAGAAAUUAUUAAUUAGUUAUACUAAAUUUACUGAUAUAUUUAUACUAAAUUCUUAAUUAUACUUAAUACAAUAACACUUUUUUCUCAAAAAAAAAAUCAAUAAUGACUUGUGAUUAUAUUUGUCUCUAAAGUAAAAACUUGAUUACUUUAAUUUUAUUUGUCUCAUAAUGUUGUUGGAUUGUAUUCAAAUAACUUUUAUUUGAUUGUUUUUAUAUAUUUCAAUUGUGAAAUUAUAUGAACAAUGACUUGAUGAUGUGUUGAUAUUUAAAUACUUAAUUUUUACUAAAAUUUGACUACAACAAAAUUAUAUAAUACAUUUUUAUUAAUCUCGCCGAAAAAGUGAAAAGGAAUGGAGACGGGAGGGGAGAUUGGUACCUGCACCCAAGGAUGUCCCUCCCCGUUUGCCAACUCAGCUGAAAUAUCCAGACGUGGGGUGAUAUGAAUACAUUGUAUUGACGGCUCGACUUUGUCAAAUUCAUGGAACCUAUUUGAUACACGUAACGAUAGACCGUACACUUGGAUUCUUUAUUCGAAUUUAAGGGAAUCAUGUCCAACAUUUGUGACCAACCCUUGUCAACUUGUUCUUCAAGGAGAGCAUCCGAGUGCCCACUUUGGACCCUGCUACUUUGUAAUGCACUACCUAGGAUUUUUCACACUAUAUACUACAAUAAUAUCCUUCAUGUUAUUAGUGUUUUAGCAAAUCUAAUUCCCAUUUCGAUUUUCCUUGCCUGUAAAUGUUGCUCGUGGUCUAGCUUGGUUGAUGGAGAACUGGGGUAAGCAUUUUAAAUGGAUGUAGGUUUGGUCAGUCCUAAAAAAAAUCUUGGGAGAAGUUUGUAUUUUAUCACCUUAUGUCUUGAGUAGUAUCAAAGAUGAAAGUCAGUGAAAUAUCUGUUUGAUUGAAAAAGUAUGAUUCAUAUAACGAUGCAUUACUCCAAUCACCUUAUAUCUUGAGUAGUAUUGUAACUUAGGCCUGUUAUCAUCUAAUUAAUCCUGCUUUUCCUGUUGUCCCGCCUACACCAACAAAAGUUAAUCCUCAGAAUAUGCUUCACUACUUGAGUAGAUAUAUGGUCUUACCAUGGAAUUUUGUGCCUUGUUUGGAAGUAAAGUUUUUUACCAAGUUUGUCUGCUACAAGUUUUUUAAAAACUUUAGCUACAGUAACCUCAAAAAUUUUUUCAAAGUUUUUAAACUAUACACUUCAAAAUAUUAAAAAAAAAAUACACUUCAAAAAUUUUUUUAAAAACUUCUACAGUAAAAUUUUAGACAAACAUCCAAAAAACUCACCUUCCAAACGGGCCGUUAAUACAUGUGAUAAUUGUGUCAUUCUGGUAUAACUUUAGAGUGGAAGAAAGUUGCUUCCACCCACAUUUAACUCGGUUCAGGUUGAUUCUGUCUAGUUCGAUCUAAUUAUUGUGAUUCAUAACUUUUGGUGUAAAUUCGUACAACUUUAAUUUAACUGUGAAUUAGUUGUACGAGUGGAUAACAUUCACAGUUAUACCAAAAUUGUACCAUUUUACACCAAAUGUUUUAAAAAUUACAUAAUUGGAUGGAAUUGAACAGAAGUUCAACCGGACAGGCUCCGAAUGGUCGAACCAUAUUUAGCUACCCUUUUCGGAGCUAGCGGCCCCAAUUAUGAACGCAAGUAUUCUUAUUUUGUGAAGGAAGAAUAAGAACAACUAAAAACUUGUAAGAAGGGAAAACAAAGAGAACGAAAUGUGUUACUUUGUGAAAAGGCUCAACUAGGAAGACUGUGAAUUAAAAGUACCUUUAGUGGAUCGGAUGUAUAUUUUUUAUGGAAAAUUUUUUUGAGAUUUUUUAAGGUUAAUCUUUUUUAUACAAUGUUGCUGUAUAAAUUUUUAACACUAGUAGAUUUAUGUCAUACAACAUAAUAUGAAUUCAAAUUUGAAUUUCAAAUCAUGCACAUGUGACAUACAUCCAAAACUGCUAGUGUAAUAAAAUCACCACACCGUCAGUGCAUAAAAAGUUAAUCCAUUUUUUAAAUACAUUUUUUAGCUACCUUCUAAUUUUUUUAUUCAAAUUUUUAUCUAUCAUACAGCAUAUCACAAACAGUAUUAUUAAUAAAUGAAGAAAGACAGUUCAAAAAAAUUGAAAAAAGAUUUUUUGCAAAUAAUCUUCACUCCAAAUACAAUUAGAUAUAUUAAUUUGGCGUAGGCUCACUUCUAUCUAUGUCUCCUCGUUUUUGGACUGUGGUCCAAUUAACGGUCAAAGCCCAUAAAGCCAAUGGGUUUGUUUGGAUUGGGUUUUAUUUCCUCAAAUUUAUUUGCUUACAUCAUCAUUAUAAUUUCCAAUACACCUUUUUACCUUCCCAAUUACCUUUUUAUCUCACAUACAUCACAUCACAAAAAAUGCUACAGUAAAAAUAUCUCUAAUAAUUCACUUCUAUAUGGAUUGGAUUUUUGACGGCUGCUUGGAGAUUAGGCUCUAUCGAGGCGUCGUAGGAGGAAGAUUUCGGGGUAAGGUCAGAUCCAUUUCCGUAACGCUAAAGAAAAAAAUAAAUAAAUAAAAUUCCAGUUUCUAUUAGAAAAACUUUAUCUAGAUUUGGACUAACUGCUUGACAAACCGGCUUAAAAUUCCACUUUGCAUCCUUUAACUUGUAUACUUUUUUCACUUUGCACACCAUUUUAAUUUUGGACACAUUGCAUCCUCAACUAUUGAAUUUGAAUCUACCCUAUUUCAAUCCAAUUGAUAACUCCAUCACCAAAAUUAACAAAAUAAAAGACAUUUUGGUCACAAUGCACAAGUCUUUUUGGUCAAAGGGGGGCAACCUUCCCUCCACAAAAAUUUCAUCAUCUUGUACGGACAUAAAAGUCAUACUCGCUCAUCGUGUGCAUUGUCUUUUAUUCUAUUAAUUUUGAUGAUGGAAUUAUCAAUUGGACCGAAAUGUGAUAAAUCCAAUAGUAAAGGGUGUACUGUGUUCAAAAUUAGAAUUAGAGGUGCAAAGUGAGAAAAAGUGUACAAGUUGGGGUUAAAAAGUGGAAUUAAGCCUAACAAACCUAAUAGUUUGGGAGGUUUGGAUUGGCGUGGUAAGGUGGGAGAAAUUAUCCUAAAUACAAGACUAUCCACUCACCCAAAAAAAAAAAAGUUUGUCUUUAUCCAAUGGAGUACUGCUAAUUGAACAAAUAAGAAUCUCAAAAUAUUAAUUGUAUUUGAUAUAAAACUAGUGAGCUCGAGAACAUUUUUAUUUGUCUACUAGGCUUGCCAAAUUAUUGAUUUGACUGUGAUAAAAUUCUUAGAAAAAUUUUAUCUUAAUUUUAUCAUUAAGAAAUCACAUCAUCAAUAGGAAAAUUCUAUUUAUCUCAUGAUUGAUUAGGUGCAAUGGGGAGUUCUCAGCAUAGAACUUUGUACGAGGCUACUGCUUUAGGUAAUGUCCAUCUGAAGGUGCUGGUAACAUUUCUAAAAUCUCAACGAAGUACUAAUUAAGGGAAAACUAGGAGUUAGAAAAGAAAAAAAAGGUCCUCAAAUCCUUUGAAUCACCUUUCAAAUCCUGGUAUGAAUUUUCCAUGUCAACUGUUACAGUUUUUUCAGGGCAAAGACGCCUCCCUUGUACAGCUUAUCCCCACCUUCUGCUGGUGAGUGGUUGAGAUUCAUAGCUGAUGGCCUUGUCAUAUCAUCCAUCGUUUUGGAAGCCACUACUGUCUCGGCAUUCCAAUACCAGGGUUGAAGGUAAGGUGAAGAAAUAGAUGGAGAAUAUGAAGAGGGAUGUAGCAUUAUUGAUCCCCAGUCUCUUUCUCCAGGCUUUGGUUCCUUUAUCCUCCUCCUGAUUAACAAGCUUCCCACGUCUUCUUUUUUCAUUUCCGAUAUGCUUCUCAAUACUGAUAAGCAGAUAAGAAGUACAAAAACUGCAUCUUCUUCAGGCAGUACCUCCACUGCCGGUAGCUUCCAAUUUAGAAGAGCAGUUGCUUUUCCAGUUGGCAACUCCUCUGAGAACCGGACCAGUGUUAUAAAUCCAUCUUCUUCUUCUUCUUCUUCUUCUACUUCUUCGUCAUCCGUAUCGUUUGGUUUUUUGCAGAUAGAAGAGUCUGAGGCUGAUGAUGACUUCUUGACUUGAUACUGCAUCUUCCUCCCUUUCAGCAACCUUACCUAGAGUACACAGUUGUGAUUUGUUAUUUUGCAUCGUUUGAUAAAUGCAUGUUCUAGAAAAUUGAUCUUCAAAAAUAGGGAAUAAAACUGUAGGCUGUACCAUCCUGUCAGUAGGUUCCUUGUUUCUUAUGACAAAAUUGAAGCCUGAACUGGAUGUUGGAGACCCCCAACGUAUUAAUAGUUCAUUUCCUGUUGAGAUGUUCCAUGAAGCUUGCCACUCCUCAGGUGGUUCUUGAGGUGUUGCAGUGCCUACAACUUUCUCUGCACUAGAUGACAAUUGCAUGUAAAAUAAGCACGGAGGUUGAGAGGGAAACAGCAUAACUGAAGAACCAAAACAGGUGGAAGCAGUGAGAAAGAGCUACAUUAAAGCACAUACCAGGGGCUUUGCCAAUCGAACUAGCAACGUAGGACCAAGAACCUUCACGAAUCUCUAUGAUCCUGUCCUCCCAUUUAACAGCUGAAGGUGUUUCGCCUCCUCUCCUCCAAAAUCCUCCUCCCAUCCUGGAUCAUUCUUAAUCAUUUGAAACUCAGAAUAUUGAAUAAAGCAGACACUAAUAAAUGACUUCUUUCCGAUAGCAAUUACCUCAUUCGGAUGACAAAACACUCUCUUCCUGCAUGGUCAAGGACAGUGCGAGACAACCACCGACCAGCCUGAGGCCGAUACUCAUUCAUUCUAAGUAUUACAUCUGAUAUCAUUGCUCCUGAAUCAUCUGUGACCCGGUCUGGGACGCAUUUCAACAAGUAGGGUGCUUGAACAGGUGGAGUGAUUGAAGCAUCUGCUUUAACUACUUGAUCAAUUUCUUUUGACCAAGUUAGAGAGCGUGCACGCAAUAAAUCAUUCCAAAGAAAUGCAAUGCUACAUUGCAGGUUACUUCCUUUAAAGCAACGGCCACCUCUCUGACGAAGUUCAAGUAUCGCUCCCUUUGUGCCAAACUCACAGUACAGAUGCCAAGCUUUACGCCAUGAUUCUGAUCUAAAGUCUAACAAUGGUUUAUCUAAUUUGAGUUCCUUAUGGCAUCUAGCCAUCCGGAGACGUAGAAAUUCAUUUGACAUCUGUCUCUUCAUUGCUCUUGUCUCUCUACUUAGCUUCACGGAUAUGCAGAACUGCACAGCAGGAUAAUGGAGCAGUAAGGUGACUUUCACAACUUCCAAUACUCCCCAUUGGGCUUCCCCCAACCCAAGAAAGAAAAUCGGAACACAAAGUUCUACGAUAUUUUCUGUAAAACUUAAUUGCACUUAUAUUCUCUAACAUAUCUCAUUACAUCUUAUUCCUAUGCAGUCAUGCAGUUGUUUAUGUUUUAAGCAUUGAAUCAAUCAGAACAAGAUUUAAGUGAACCGAGCAUUCAGCAUCUUCCUAUUGAGUGAAUUGAGUGAACCAUCAACAGCAAAAUAUCAAAAAUCUUUUGGAUUCUUAAUAGCUGAUGAAUGAAAAGAUGCCAAUGGUUUCUGAAAAGCAAGUCAGAAGAACCUAAAAUUAGUUCCUUUGUAGAUGUUACACAAAUUAGAGUGGCAGUUAAUCUCAAAAAUCAAAAUUGUGCCAUUGACAUCCUUCGAAGCCUAAUGUAAGUAGAGAAUCACAAGCUUUUUUCUGCAUUAAAAAGAUCCAAUUUUGGGGUUUCACCAUAAUUAGAUACUUUGAAGAGGGGAUAUGAAGUUCAGCUAGCAAGUUAAUCCUAAGUUAAUUAAAUAAGAAAACAUGAUUGUCCUAAGAGUGUUCCUUUGUAUUUAUUUCAUAUCUCUAAGUUGGAAAGAGCCAACAACUGACACCAAUGGUAAACUACUUGGUACUUCUCUGUAAGACAAAGAAAGGCUUAAUGACAAGGGCUACUGUACUUUCUUAGGCAGAUGAUGCCAAUUGGAACAUGAACAUAUAGUGCAUAAUUUCACAUUUUUGGGGGGGAAGGAAAAAGUGAAGAGAGUAACUGUUAACCUAUUCUGUCUCAAGAUGUACAAGUUGCUAGAAGAUUAGAAGAACUACCACGAGUGAAUACACCUUAAAGGCUAGAUGUACAUGAGACUCAUUCGAAUGGAAUUUCAACAUGUCAAGACGAGUCCAAAGAUUCCUUUUAGAUGUUUGUAAAUUACUACUUAUCAGAGUCAAUAUAUGUCAAGGAGUUGAAUACAGUUACCAUUUGUUGCAUUUAUUGUAGACAUGUUGUAUCAAAUCAUUUCAUCUAAAACUUCUAGACGUUUUACCACUUGAUAAGCAGACAAUUUGCUAAUCUUCAACAACCAAGUUACCCAUGCAAAUUCAGUUUCAGGGUUUAGUCCAGGCACUGAACUAGGAUCUUUUCUGUCCCUAAACCAAAAAUAUGUUUAAUUUGUCAAAGCUGGAAAAUUUUGGGAUCAAGAAGAAAAAUCUAGGUAAAUGGACAACUGCCCUUGCACCAGACAAGAGCAAAUGCAGUGAAUUCUGCUGUGCAGCAUCUGCCCAAAAAAAGUGAGCGGUUCCAACUCCCAAGCCUUCUUGAAUCCCAAGUUGGUCUCACAUGACACAAAAAAUCUUUUAGCUUUUAAAAUAUUGAAUUCUUGAACAGAUAUCUUGACCGUGAUUAAAGACUUAAUGAAAGUUCGAUCAAGCUGGAGCGUGGUGGAUCAUAUGUCACCACUCACAUGUUCUUUAGACCUGACUUGUACAAAUUUGUUGCAUGUACAGGUGAAGGAAUAAUUAAUUAUAGGAGCUAUAUUAAUCUAAUUACAUGUUCAACACUAUUAGACCAACUUGCUAAUUAAAGAAGUACCAACUGAAAGAAUCAACCACCUAAUAUGGACACUGCCAACUAAUAAAUAGAAAAGGUGAUAUAGAAAGGGCCAAUCCUAGACAAAGCACUCAAACAACUUGGUUAAUGUUAAAUCAUGACUCACAGUUUCCUUGAUCUUUCCUUUUUCUUUUUCCAUGUUACAAAGUGCUAAAGCUAAAGGAACUAACCUCAAGCAAGAACCUUGGCACCAAAGACCUGUACUUUGUAUUAACAUCCGUGUCUGAGGCAUCCCAAUAAAAAGGUGGUUUGACAUGAACAGCCCUCCCAAUGGCUGAACCACCAGCUUUCUCAUAUGGUCGAUCAAAUAUUUCCUCCCACAUGUUUUUCGCUUCUUCUAUCGCUCCUUCCUUCACAUUCACAUCAUCCCAUGCUCCAUGUACCUUUUCAAUAUGCCCUUCCAACUCCUUAGUGUCUUGAGCAUAUACUGUAGGAUAGCUCUAACAAAUUGAAUGGCAAAAAUAAAUAAACAAAAUAUGAUAGAUUAUGUGAAGCACAUAUCAAAAUUUGCACGAGUUCACGUAUCUAGAGAGAUUAUUGUUUAGCGUUUAGGGCAUACAUUCUCUUCUUAUCUUAGGACACCCAUUCUUGUAAGCUUAAAGACAAUAUAGCAGGUUUGGGGCUCAACAAACUACUGAUUGAGACUUCUGGUGUUUUGUAGCAGAUGCAAACAGUGAAGUAUAUCGCUGUACAAAAUGUUCUUGUUUUCACUACAUUAUGAAUCUAGACUGCAGUUCAAAUUGUGUGGCUACAUUUUCCAGCCAUGGAUUCACCCGUCAAAAAUUAGUAGGGCUAAUUGACAGGUAGAUUGGUGGGAGCUCCAAUCCUUACCAUACUGUCAGUCUUCCACUUGUGGUACUGGAUGUCGAGAUUUACUUUAGUGAUCAGAACAUUACUUCCAACUCUGAGGCAACAUAAUUGGCCUAUCUUGAGUACUCUUAAGCACAAUAUUAAAGUAAUGUCUACUAACUUUUAGACAAUUAUCAUAAACCAGUAAAUUAAGCCAUCUUCUACUGUUUCUGACCCAGUCAUCAAGAAGUAUGCUUCAUUUGCCCUCAUGCCCCACCACAGACCCCAAACAAGAAAAAAAAACAUACUUAGAAAAGGGCAGGAGGAUGGAAAAGAAAAAGGCUGCAGCACCACUUGUUGCUUGAUAGUGCAAAAACCUAAAAAGUAGGGAUUUUCUGUGGAGGAAGUAUGAGUCAGACUGAAGCAAAGAAAGAAUGUAUAUUUGCUAGAACCAAAAGACCACCAUGAAUUUCAGAAUAGCUCCAUUUCCAUUUGCCAGGCAAACCAUGUAGAUGUAGGUAAACCAGAAAGCUGGGAAAACAAAGAAUGAAAAAUAAAUGUGGUCACCUACCUGAUGAGUCAGCCACAUAAGUAGAACAUCUGAAGGGGGCACCAAUAGAGAGCACCUCUCGGAAAUUCUGUUCAAACUGUACAGAAAGCCUUUAUAGCUUUGUCUUGCUGCAAUCAGAUAGACAACCUCUGACCUGUAUGGCUCAUUAAAUAUGGUGUAUAAAUAUCUCUGCUUGGACACUUGAUCCAGAAGAUCUUCAUUUAUAACACAAGGCUUCUCCAAAUUUAACUCAAAUUCACUCUCAAAAGGCUCGGAUGGAUAUCUGUAUUCCCAAAUUUCUUUGCAUCUGUUCAGUGCAUACUCUUCAUUUUCUUCAUCAAAGAUCGCUGCUUUCCCAAUUAACUUCGAGAACCUUGACUUGCAAUAUUCUCUGUAACUGACCUGGAACGGAAUUCAGAAAAUAAGCAUUAUCGGUAUAAUCUUCGAUGCAACCUUACUUCAAUUUGAUCAAGAAUGAACUUUAUUUAACCCCAAAAAAUUUAACUUGGAUUGAGUACAUAAAUUUGAUGAUUUUAGCUUCAGAACACCUCUGUCUAGUGCAUUUUUUUUCUCGACUGUUAAGAGCAAUAUCAUUCUUUUAGUCUUAACUUGAAUUUCACAAUCACAAGGGGAAAAUUCUGAAUCUUUGUGGUGCAGCUAAAGCCAUUAAAUGAAAAACUUACCGGAUUCAAGGUGUGACAGAACCAAAUCCAUUCAACAUCAAGUGGAGGAAGGACCAUAGGAGGAGUUGAACCGACUGCGAGAUCAGAGAUGAGAGGCAUCCAAAGCUGAUCAUAUCUAAACAUUUAAACCAUCAAAAUUUCCAUCAGACGAUAAUUUUUUGCUAAACUAAACCACACCCAGAUGAGUUUAGCUGCUAAUAAAUCAUCCCAAAUCAAGAAAUCAGUACCUUCUGAUGGAUUCAAGAAUGCUGGGUUUCUGGUGAAGCCAGUCAGAGUCAUCCACCAGUCUCAAGAACCCAAGAUUAUGCCUUGCAGCAGCUACAAGAUCCACACUAAGUUUCACAGUUUCCUCCUCCGAUAUCUGACUUAGGCUCCUGAUUGAUCCAACAUCGUCUGAAACUGACAUUGCUUACCAAAUUCUUCACAUGCCUUCGGACACAGCACCCUAUUUGUUCAACUCAACAAAUCCAUGACAUCUUGAAAAGCAUGCUGCAUGAGCGCACACAAAAGUAGUAAAAGAACUCGGCACGUGGUACAUUUACAUUUGAUUCAACUAUAGAUUGUACUACUGAUGGGACCAGAAAAGACAAGACCAUUCAUUGGUUCCAAGAUGUAGUCAAUUGGGUCAUCAAGGGUUGUAAAUUUCAAUUUGUUCCUAGUAAUGUGCAAUGUGGAGUGCAAAUUUCAUAAUAGUAGUAUAAGCUUAUUCUUUGUAACACUGUUCUUUCCUUCUUUUUUUUUUUUUUUUGGUAUGUGGAAACAAAAAAGAAGAUGAAAAUAGUGGAGGCAUGUAUCAACGAAAAAAUCCCAUUAUAUUAUAUGAUUGCAUGAUGCAAUGUUUUAAUUAAAUUAUCUAGUAGCAGUUGAGAAUUUGCCAUGGACAUUAACGUUAGAAUUGAUUGAAUCAUGUUAAAAUUGCAACAAAUCUGUUAAAUUAACAUUAUCCCCAUUCUUGUGUGUUGUAUUUGUAGUAUUAUAUGAUGCAUAAUUUCGGUGGAAUGUUCAUCCGAUUCAACAAAGAAAUAACAGGUGUUGCAUCCUCCAUCAACGUUAUGAGAUGAUAAAUGUAUUUUUGUACAAUGAUGAGUCUUCGGUAAAGUAUAUGGUUGCUUUUCUUGACCUACUCUCUAUGGUGAGGUGUUCCCUUUUCAAUUGAAUCUCCCAUUCAACGUGGCAUAAAAAAUUAGAUAUUAAAACUACUAGUUGCAAAUGACGUUAAAUGGAAUAAUUGACGAGGCAAUACAUACAAUAAAGGCAAUAUUCUCAUUUUACAUUAAUUAGUGUACUCUUAAUGUGUACUACAAAAAAAAUGAUGAAAAGGGGGCAUUAUAACUUAAAAAAUGAUGAAAAAUGGGUAUUUUAACUUUUUGUUUAAACCUUCCACCCCAAAUGCCAGGCAUAAAAUAUAGGAUUGGAGUUUUGAACUUGAUAACAAGAAAAAUUUUAAGAGCCAUUUUCUGACCACUUAACCGGUCCUAAUGGUUGGGUUAUCGUAACAUUUGUUAUUUUUAUAUUUGGAUUUUUCUAACGAGUGCCCUUAAGGCACUUGUUAACACAUCUAGUAUUCAUCUAAUUUAUCAUAUAUAUAUAUAUACAUAUAGUAACAAUUAUUAUUCUAUCUUGCAUUUAUAUAAUUUCUUUAUUUAAUAUUGUCUACCCUUCCUUGUAUUUAUUUAUUUUUUCUAAUUAAUUUUAUAUUUUCAAAAAUAUAAUACUUGAAAUAUAUCUUAACGAGCGUACUAUGGGCACUCGUUAGACAAACCAUUAUAGGUUUAGUGCUAUUGAAUUGUAAUAGUUGUCAUGUUCACUAUUUGUGAAUCAGUUGUUCAUUAAUUGUAUUACUCCAAUUAUUAUGGGUUUCUUGUAAUCUUAUUAAAAGAAUAGAAAUGUUAUAUUAAGCGCCAUACGACUUAAAUGACAGAAACAAACUAAAUAAUGGUCCAUUUUCUUGAUUUUAGGGAUUUCUUUAUUUAUAUCUAUCGUUUAGGAAUGUCGUGAUUUUCAAUAUCUUUUUGUAAAUGGACCAAAAAAACAACUUUGUCUUUUUGAUAAAUGAACACUUCUUAAGAAUUUACUAGGCUAAUUUGAUAUUUAGUAGGUCCCUUCUUCAAAUCAGGCCAAAUGAAUUAUUCACCAGAAGUUAAGCAAAGACAGGAUGAAGAAUGUAGAAACUAGGCUAACGAGUAGAUGUGGGACAAUGCAGCAAAAAACUGAUACAAGAAGAAUACACAGAGUUCUAAAAUGAAUCGAUUGAUUGGUCCCAUCCUUUUCACUUUCGCUAUUGCACCACUAGGCACAAGGUAUCAAACCACUACUGGUAAAUCUAUGAUGAUGGGCCAAAUUUGGGGUGACGUGUGAUCAUGAUUUUUGCGUCCAAAUCUCUACCUCAUCCUGCGGCUCUUCGCUUCUUUCCGCUUAGCUUUUGGUUGAAAGUGUCCAUCUUUCAUUGCAUCAUGUCAUAAGAAAAGUUAGGUUAGCAAACUAGCAACCUAAUUUAGAUUUUCCAUAUAAAUUUUUUUUGAAAAGCAUAUAGAUUGACCUUAUAGAAUAUAAGAACAUUCCGCAUCAUAUAGAUUUUCCAAUGUUUUGAGCUUGGGUUGGGUUAAGCAGCUGUUUGAAAAUCCGUUAUUUUCUGUCAGCCAAAAAAGUAUGUAAAUACCUAAUUUAGAGGUGGGUUGGAUUAGAUGCUACGAUGGAAGGAAUUGAAACAAAAAUAAAUUUUAAAUAUUUAACUUACGGUGCAAUUGGGAGGAGGGUUGGGUUGAGUAGUACGGGAGGAGGAGGGAGUGUAAGUGAGAGUUUUUGGAUUCAAGACCCUCCACUUGCAUUUGAAGAAAGAAAAUCUUGUGACGCAAUUAAGUUCAUUAUCAUAGAAAACAAAUGUUCCCUAAAGGUCUACAACUUCCAUCAAUCCUUCUUUAUAUCCUAUUGGCACAAAAAUUUUUUUUUUUUUUGACGAGGGAUUAUUUGGACAGAAAUUUAGACUUUAUAUGUUUGGGGCUUUUGGGCACUUUAUUAACUGAAUCAUAAUACAAAAAUGGACUAUUAUUAGGGGUGGCAAUUUCUGACACGACCCGAAAACACGACACGAACCUAACACGAAAUUAAUGGGUUUGGGUUGAAGUUUUGGGGGUUCGGGUCAGAAUCGGGUCGAACCCGAUGAACCCGAAAAGAAAACAGGUCGAUUUCGGAUCAACCGGUGGUGACCUGAUAUGACCCGAUAUGACCCGUUUACAAAUUAAAAAUAAUUUAAUAAACAUAAAAAUUAUUUUAUCUAAGUAAACUAAAUCAUUCUUUUUUUUUCAAAAGCAUUAAUUACUUAAUUCUAAAUGAAUUUAUUUACCUUGUGUGAAGUUAAAAUUAUUAUAUUUGGACAAAUAAUAUAAUUCGUUUUAAUUUAUUUUAUAUUUGAUUUGGGAUAAAACAGUUUUACGAUGUUUAAUUUAUUUUGGAUUUGAUUUGAAAUUAUUUAUUUAAAUUUUUAUUACUUGAUGAUGUAAUUAAUUUUGUGAGAAAUUGAUUUUAUUAGAAUUUACAGUGAUAAAUUAAUAAAUUAAAAUUAAUUUUCGGAUCAUUUUGAAUCGACCCGCCAACCCAAAAUUUUCGAAUUCGUGUCAGAUAUACUGACCCGUCACGGGUUGACGGGUCGAGUUCGAGUCAACAGAUUUUUUGGCGGGUCGGAUCAACCUGAUUGGUCCCGAAUUGCCACCCCUAACUAUUAUAAUGUCAAAUUCGACAGUGUAGAAAAUUAAUUGUUAUUUGUCACGUAAGUACUUAUCAUCACAAAAUACAAGUACUUUCUUUAGUGAUAACAAUUUCACAUGCAGUAAGGUAACCUCAUCGUACUCAAGAAUUGUUUACAGCUUAUAGGAGUAUUAUAUAACAAUAAACGCAGUGAUUAAUUUAAUAACUCUAUGUUGUUGUAUGAAUCCACAUUAAUAUUUGGAGAUGAUAAAAUACACAUAAUCAAUCAGUAUUUCAUCAAUUCAGACGAGAACAUUCAUUAUUGUCCAAGUUCAAGUGAAAAUUUUGGAACUGAUUCCCUCCUGCCUUAUGACAGAAAAUGGAUAUUCAAUGAUAGAGAAGUAAUAAUUCAUUGAACUUCAAGAAGAAAACGUCAAGGCCGUUGCCACAACUUAAAACUUUUUUUUUUUUUUUCAGACAAUGCCUGUUUAAGAUUGAUUUUGCGUAUACCAAAAAGGGAAUUCAAUGAUGAAGAAGUAAUAAUUCAUUGAACUUGAAGGAGAAAACGCUAAGUACCUGGAGUAUUAGAGAUUGUGAUUCCAUAACUAAAUUGACAUCUUAACAAAGUGCCUUAAGUAACCAACUAAACUAUCUCUAGGUCGAGUGAUUGAAUUCCAGAAGUAGUUAGCCAAGUUCUCUUUGGGUGUCAAUCAAAGAAUUGAAUCCUUUGACUUUGCACUCGUCUAAUCCAAUAAUGAUUAUAUCCUCGUGACCUAAGUUGGUUCAAUUCCUAUCAAUUCCCCGACCGUCUGAUCUAAUAAUGAUUGUAUCCUCGUGACCUAAGUUGGUUCAGUGACCUAAGUUGGUUCAAUUCCUAUCAAUUCCCCGACCGUCUGAUCCAAUAAUGAUUAUAUCCUCGUUGGUUCAAUUCCUAUCAAUUACCCGACCACCUAAAUGAUUCUAUUCAUCGCUCCCUUCCGGUCGAUUCCCUUGACCGAAUUAAGACCUCCCUUAAAUAGGAGGUUGGUGUAAGAGAAACACAAGAGUAGUAUUGAGCCCUCCCUUAGAUACACUAACAUAGGAGUAACAGUAGGAAUAAUGUAGCUAAAAAAAAAAAUCAGCCUUGAGACCCGUGGAUUUCAUUAUGUUGUUUUUCCCCACUCUUGGUUUUUGUUCUCUCUCUUUCUUUGCUGAUCAAUUUAAGAAUGCUAAUUUCAUCAAUUAAACAAGAUAGAAACCAGGUUCAACCAGACGCCCUAGCAAUCAAAGGAAUUAUUCUUUCUUAUGGAACUCUAAAGGUUGUCACUCUAGAAGGCUGAUAUUGACAGAGAGAUUUCCAGAGCAUCUUUUGACCUUUUGCCCCAUCAAAGGUUAACUCAACUUUACACUAAAUGGAGAAUACCAAGUCAAUACGCAGGUAAAAGAGCAGAAUUGGUACUGGAAGAUAUCAUUGUACACCAAUUUUCCUUAUUUCCCUCUGAUCAAUUAUCAUGCAUUCAAGAAAAUCAAGUGUCAAACCCAUCAUCUUAUCCAUGUUUCAAGCAAAAUUGGACCCCAAAGAAAAAAAAAAGUGAAACAGAAAGUAAACAAAAGGGCUAUUCCUGUUCCCUCAGAAAAUGAUAAUUUACAAAUUUCAAUCAAAAAAUGAUUCAGAAUUAGCAUGGUUUGGAUAAGAACAUCACAGGGAACAAAAGCCCAGUUGUUUAGACUGCAAUUCAUCAAAACAGAAAAUCCCAGAUCCUAGGGCAACCUGGAAAAUAAAAAGAAGUUAAAACAAAGGAUUGAAGAAGCUCAAGCUCAGACAGAUGUUGGAAAAAAGUCCAUUCCUGGACCUUCUAGUUGGAAGCCAGAAGGCCUCAUAAUGAGCUGGGAUUAACAUUUAUCAUCAUAGCAUUCUUCCAUAUAUAUAUAUAAAAAAAAAAAAAUAAGCAAAGCCUCAGUGGAGGAACAUAGAACAAAGGCAGAAACAGAAAAAAGAAAGAAGAAAAAGCUUCAGGUAAAGCACAGAUGCAUUCGUUGGUGGUUCUAUAAACAGAAGCUGGAGAAGAAAACGGAGGGCAGGAGUGGAGAGCUGGAAGGGGAUGGCGAAGGAUUUUAUAUUUGAGAAGACAAAAGUUUAGUAGGGAUUUAGGGUUUUGGUGUGGGCUUGUGGGUGGUUGCCGUCUGCUAACCUUCAACAGAAGUACUGAAAAUCCUCUGGGCCCAAAUACGUCUCCCUGUGUUCUGGGCUCAGUCUCAGUACCCGCUAUAUUGGUGGGCCAUGUAAGGAUCUUUACUUCUAUGCGGCUUUAACACCCAAUUUAAUGGGCAGAUACAUUAGUCUGGUGGUUGUGAAGAUUCUGAUUCAACUUUUUAAAUCAUCUUUUUUUUUUUUCUUUUUUUCUUUGUAAGAUUUGGAGUCUCUGUUUGCACUAAAAAGAAAGAGAGAAGAAAAUGUAAACUAUUUGAGUUGAAUUUUGAUAAUACUACUAAAGUUGUUAAGCUUUCAACGAUUGUGUUUAAGCUCAAUAUGAUGAUGGUUUUAUAGAGCUUGAGCACAAUUUGUAUAAAUUUGAGUGAGACAACUCUACUUCAAAUUUGAACUCGAGCUAAAUGAAGGCGGAAAUUUUGCCGGGGGAAUUUGAUCAAACAUAAGGUUGAUGAAGCAAAUUUAACGUCAUUUACUAUUAUUUCUUUAGAGCUUAGGCAAAAUAUUUCAAACAAGAAUUAACACAAAAGAUAAAAUAGCUAAAAAGGAACAUGAAACAUGGUAGUACUAGAAAGCAGUUGCUUAAGAGCUAGCAUCUUUUAGCGUCUCCUUAUCAAAGCAUCAGAAAAGGGAAUGUAGUGCAAUCAAAGCCCAGCAGCCAAACAGGGCUUGAUUCAAACUCCUUCCACAUCCCAAACUGAGAAGAAAGACGCACAUAAAAUAGGCGAUUAGCAAUUUUUAAGGUGACCACGACGACGAUGAUGUUGAAACGAAGAGGUUUGGGCGCUGCUUUUUCUAUUUCUCCAUACGAGAAAGCAUCAGCUCCAUCAGAAUCAGGUACUUCUGCUGCUGCUGCUACUGCUGAAUUAGCUUUUCGUUCUGGUUCUGCUGCUGCUGUUAAGGAAAAAUACCCAUCUUGGGGUUUGAGGAAUCAGAUUAAUAAUGACAUCAAUAAUCUGGAAGAUGCACUGAGAUUGUACGAUGAUAUGGUUCGAACGAGGCCUCUGAAUAAUGUUAUUCCCUUGAAUCAACUGCUAAGCCGUUUAAUUAAGCUGAAGCAUUAUUCCUCUGCUAUUUCCCUUUUCAAAGAUAUGUGGGCUCUGGGCAUUCCGGUCAACGAAUACAUCCUUACCACAGUAGUCACUUGUUACUGCCUCGUGGGUCGAGUGGAUUUAGGGUUUUGUACAUUAGGUGCUUUCUUCAAGCGUGGUGUUGUCCCUAAUGUCGCCACCUUUGCCAUUUUACUCAAUGGACUGUUUCGAUGGGAUAGAGUUUCCCAAGCACAAGAAUUGUUCAAGAAGAUCAUCUAUCGAAAAUUGUGUGAACCGGAUGAGAAAAUGUAUGGAGUUAUAAUCGAUGGGCUCUGCAAGGCGGGGAACACCAGCAUGGCUAUUGAGUUUCUUGAAGUUUAUGCAAAAACGAAAAGUUAAGCCGAACGCUGUUAUUUACAGCUCCAUCAUUCACAGCUUGUGCAAGGAUAACAUGGUAGAUAAAGCUUUUGACCUUUUACAUGAGAUGGUGGAGAAGGGCAUUGCCCCGAAUAUCGUUACUUCCAACUGCUUGAUCCAUGGUCUUUGCAAUUUAGGUCAAUGGAAAGAGGUUGCUAGGUUACUGACUGAGAUGCAGGAUUUUCAUUGGAUGUUUUUACUUUUAGUGCUGUGAUUGAUGCUCUAUGCAAGGAUGGAGAGAUAGAAGCUGCAGAAGAUGUAUUUCAGACCAUGAUUCAGCGAGGUGAAAGACCUAACAACGUAACAUAUGCUGCUCUGAUGGACGGAUACUGUUUGCAGGGCCACAUGGAUGAAGCAAUGAGAGUUUUUAACACCAUGGUUGCCAACGGAGUUGUUCCCGAUAACUUCAUAUAUAAUAUACUGAUGAAUGGAUAUUUCAAGAAGAUGAGAGCAGAUGAUGCGCUACAUCUCCUUAAAGACAUGCAGUGUAAAGGUUUAACACUUGACACUCCUACGUACGAUACAAUCUUGAAGGGAUUGUUUACGGUGGGGAGGUCUGUUGCUGCAUGAAAAGUGUUUGAUGAGAUGCAAACGACUAACAUAAUGUCUGGCUUCUACACUUACUGUGUGAUGUUGGAUGGAUUAUGCAAGGGUGGACACAUUGAGGAAGCACUGGAUUUGUUGCACAAGGUGGAAGUUGAAAGAGCGGAUCUCAGACAUGUAUGUAUGUACAACAUCAUUCUUCAUGGACUGUGUAAGAUUGGGAGGCUAGAUAGUGCUUGAGAUCUUUUCGAGAGCCUGUCUCUUAAAGGACUGGAUCCAGAUGUUGCAACAUAUAAUACCAUGAUACAAGGGCUCUGCUCAAAAGGUUUGCUAAAGGAAGCUAAGGAGUUGGUUGUAAACAUGGAAGAGAAUGGUUGCUCGGCAAAUAGGAUCACGUACAAUGUUAUCGUCCGAGGAUUUCUUUUGGGAGGUAAAUAUGAUGAUGCACCGGUGUAUCUUGAAGAAAUGGAUAGGAGGGGAUUCCCGGUGCAUUCUUAUACUUUUUCCAUUCUAUUAAAUUCAUUAAGAGAGAGUGAAACUGAUCCUUAUCUUCUCAAGAUAAUCCAGAAGUUUGUUCCAAAUAGAAAGGUUUGAGUCAUAAAUAUAGAGGAGGCUUGACUAUGGGCAGCAUGUUUUCCCUAGUCUUUCUCCUAAACAAUUGAAUCAUGAUCGUGCAACAUAUAACACGGCAACAAAUGGCUCUUGUUUGAGGGUUUGCUGAAGAUGCUAAAAAGUUUGUUUAGAGAUUGAGAGAGAAUGGUUGUGCACCAAAGGUAUUGUCCACCAACUCUUUGAGGUUAGUAAAUAUGAUGAUGCAGGGGUAUGUUAUGAUGAAAAUGCAUAGAAGAGGAUUCUGAUUGCUUUGUCAACUUUGUACAUUUUGCUUUGGAUAAUUGAGAAGUCUGAUAUUUCUCAACUACGAGAUUUCAGAGUCAUAUAAAUGCAGGAUAAAUAUGAUGGUGCAGGGGUAUGUUGUGAUGAAAUGCAUGGGAGAGGAUUGUGACUGCUUUUGUCUACUUUGUAGGCUUUGCUUCGUUCAAUUAAAGAGGAUGAAAGUGAUCUUUCUCUUGUUUUGGAUACUUGAGGAGUCUGAUUUUCUUAACUACAAGAUUUCAGAGUCAUAAAUGCAGGACUAUAUUGGAUUGCUGGAUAUCAAAGUGCUCUUCUGCUCCUAAGAUUUAAUUUUGUUGGAAGGUACAUGCUGCAGAUUCACAAUUACUUUUGAUCAGAAUAUAGGUUUAAGAUUGAAUACAACUAAUCCCUUGAGGAGCACUUUUGGGCAUAUUCAGGGAAGUCUGAGAUAUUAUAACCCUUGAAUUAAUUAAAUUAUCAAAUCGUGUUUGAACUUGUAGAUAAUUGACGCAUUAAAGCUUAAUAGGAGGCUCAAAUAACAGUUUCAGUCAAUACAUCUUAACAUAUGUUCUUUUCAUUAUACAAGAAUAGCUAUGCAUUAUUGAUAAAAUAGUAUUAGAAAUAGAAAAAAUAUACACAUGAAUCAAUCUCAGAACUUACAUUUUAAACCCACAAAAGAUUUAGAUCGAGUCAGACGGUUUAAAAACUAGUGGAUUUGUUUAUAACCCUACUCAUGGGUUCAGCAGGCAUAAAAAGAUUCAUGCAUUUAUCUUCCAGAUAUUAUAAAAAAAAAAAAAAAAAUGGUGGGAUGCAUUUAAUUUUUUUCCCCAAGGAGCCUCAACAUCAUCUGGUUCUCGGAUCUCAAUCUGCUGCUUAAUUUCAGUAUUAAAAAGAAUUAUGAAUUGACCGCUUUGUGUAUUAAAAACUAGAGUACUUAAAGUACAUUUGUAGCCCAAAUACUCCACUGCUUUGUAAUGAAUACACACACAAAUCAUAUUGUUAACUUGCAAGGCUUAGAGUUAGUAGAAGAAAAUAACCUGUCUCCUGAUUUGAUUCUUGAACUCCUUCUUUCCUUCUUUCUUUUCGCAGGGAAAAUGAUUAAAAAGGAAUGGGUUCGGAUGAGAGCAUGUGCUUUAGGCUUUCUUCAACUUACCUGAAUCCGGAUGGAAAUCUUACUUAAGCUGGCUGUCUUCUUUUCCUUCAUCGAAGUCCUCAUGGUUCAACCUGCAAAGAGAAUUUAGUUUGACGGGCUAAACAUCAACAUAUCUGUGUAUAACAUAAUAGAAUAUUUUCCAAAACUAACAAUACACAGAGACAGAGAAGAGCCUCCAUCAGCAAUUUGGAACAUAUAUGCAUGACUUUUAUCCCUUCCAAUUUGGAACAGGUUUCAGAAUCAUCUUGGAGAAGAGAUGGAUCAUUUUCACUCUAAAUGCAGUGGGAAUCCUCUCUUUAUCCCUUCCAUUUUGGGUGCAUAACUAGUUCCACGCUCAUAAUGUUUUGGUAUCCAAAUGUUCUCUUUUUGAAAAAAUAAUACAACGGCCCCUUUUGAGAUGGGAUGUACGUGAGAUGAAAGGUAGCUCAAAAACAUAUCAAGGGAAUAUAUUCCCGAAAAAUUUUUUCUGAAGACUCGCAAUCCAAAAGAUAUAGAGAGAUAGGGACAUCACACCCUAGUGCCCCAUUGAAAUCAUCAGUUUAACGAGCCAGCUCCCCAAAAGUUCGCAUCUGGUGAACAUUCAUCCUUCCAGAGUGGACCUGUAAUAUCAAUUCAUCAAGGAAAAAUCAAUUAACAAUUAUUACUAAAUCCAAAAAUUGUAAGGAUAAUGGUGGAGUUUGAUGAUUAAGCAGGAACAAAAAAAUAAUCUCAAUUAGCGAGUACACCAGCAGGAUCGGGAUCCCUGGUUCCUUCAGAUGGAUGGGGGACUAAAUUGCUGAUCAAGUUGACUUGAUCUUAUCAAGGCAGGGUCUAGAAUGAAGUGCAAUUAAAAUGAAGCUAUUUGACAAGCAAGUUCCAGCUCAAGAAGCUUUGCCAUACAAAAGGACCCGGAAAGAAAUCUCAAAAUGAAAAACAACCUCAUGAUCAGCAUUUUAGAGCCAAAAAAAUGUGUUUUUUUCCUCUUUUUUUUUUUUUUUUGGUUCAAUCACAAAAUGAUACAAUUCACUUCAGGUUGCCAUCCUGUUUCCUAGUAAAAAGUGAUUAAAAAAAUUCAAUUGCAAUUAGAUUACUUUUCGCACGUCUCUCCCUAAUUCCCCUGUGAAUUGCUCACGUUGAAAGUCAGUUUCAAGGAACUGAAAAGAUCUGUGCAACACUGUAUGCAAACUCUGGCAACAGGACCUAUUUUUUGUUUCAAAACGUUAAUUUAAAACCUGAUAAGUAGAACCUGCAGGCUGCAAAACCUUUGUUUCAGAUGUUAAAGUCUCAUAAAAUGUGGCGAGAUAUCUUGCAAUGGCAGUCAGCAGUCUAUGACAAGAAUAAACUUCUUAAUGACUUCUACGCAAAGUCGGUUUGCUAAUCCUUAAAAAACAACUUAAUAAACAAGUUUAAUGCACCAGUGUGAGUAUAGCAUGCUCCAGCCGCUAAGUUGCUCAAAAAUUGUAGAACAUAAACAUUCUUAAUUCUUCAAAACAACUUUAAGCUGAGUUAACAUUUACUGAAAGUUUUAACUCAAAGACUCCAAGAAGAGCAAAGAGUAAUACAAAAGGCCAUGAGACAGAAAAUUAUCCAUUCCAAGGUAAAACUCAAGAAAAAAAAACACUAAUUAUAAUAAAAAUAAAUUCACUGCAGGAUAACCACAGAAGAGUACUUUCAGUUUAUUGGCCAACAAAAGGAGCCAAGGAUCACAAUAUUAAGGUUGGGGUUCCUGAAUUAUAUAUAUAUAUAUAUAUAAUAUUUCCAACAUUUACCUGAUGAACACCUAUUUACAAAACCUAUUCCAGGAGAAUGAAGGCUCAUUUCCUAUCCUUUUAGGGCAUCUGAUUCAUUCCCCUUAACCGCAAGUCCAGUGUAAUGCUCAAUGCCACGACAACGAAAAAGUGACCACCUACCAGAAGUAGCAUUUUGGACAAACCAAGAAUAGCGUUGAUAUGCCAAGCAAAUGGCAAAAACAUGUAUCCACUCCAACUAAGAGAGUCUAAAUAAACCUUCAAAGCAUUAACCUGAAAUCAAUGACAUCAAACUUCUACUGAAGUGCCCAGGAGUGCUUUUGAAAGGCUGGUUGUUAACAUUCUUCAACAGGAAAGAGAUAAUCAUUGGAAAAAAGGAGCAGACUUCGUUACUUGAAACAUAUAAUUUCACAGAAAAUGAUGCUUCAGAGGCAACAUGAGUCCAAGGAUUGCAAACAGUUGCAAUCUACUAAAAGAUACCCUGUGCCCUUUAUUCACCACUUUAUUCCUUCAUAUUGGGAACAAACUUCUGAAUUAUCUUAAGAAGAUAAGGAUCAUUUUCACUCUUUUUUAAUGAAUUCAACAAUUUGGAAAAAGUAUGUGAAUGCAAUGGGAAUCCUCUAUUGUCCAUUUCUUCAAGAUGCACCAGUGCAUCAUCAUAUUUACCACCCAAAAGAAGUCCUUGGACAAUAACAUUGUAUGUGAUCCUAUCUGCCGAACAACCAUUCUCUUCCAUCUUUAUGAAAAAGUCCUUAGCUUCCUUAAGCAAACCUUUUGAGCAGAGGCCUAGAAUCAUGGUGUUGUAUGUUAUAACAUCAGGAUCCAAUCCUUUGAGAAAAAGACUAUUGAAAAGAUCUCGAGCACCAUCAAGCCUCCCACUUUUACACAAUCCAUCAAGAAUGAUGUUGUACAUAGUUAUAUGUUUGAGAUCCAAUCUCUGAAUUUCCAUCUUAUGCAACAAAUUCAAUGCUUCCUCGAUGUGUCCACCCUUGCAUAAUCCAUCCAACAUCACACAGUAAGUAUACCGGUCAGAUAUUAUGGGAGUCAUUAGCAUCUUGUCAAACACUUUUCUUGCAGCACCAGACCUUCCCACCCUAAACAAUCCCUGCAAGACUAUAUUGCAUGUAACAGUGCUAGGUGUUAAACCUUUACACUGCAUUUCUUCAAAAAGAUGUACAGCAUCAUCUGCGCUCAUCUUCUUAAAAUAUCCAUUGAUCAAUAUAUUAUAGUUGACACCACUCGGAACAACUCCAUUAGCAACCAUGGUGUCAAAAACUCUUCUUGCUUCGUCCACUCGGUCCUGCAAGCAGUAUCCAUCCAUCAAAGCACCAUAUGCCACGCAACUUGGUCUCUCACCUUGCUUAAGCAUGGUUUGAAAUACAUCUUCUGCAGCUUCUACCUCUCCUUCCUUACAUAGUGCAUCAAUCACAAUACCAAAUGUAAAGACAUCUCGUAUGAUGUGAAAAUCAUUCAUCUCAGUCAGCAGCUUAGUAACCUCUUUCCAUCUACCAAAAUUGCAAAGACCCUGGAUCAAACAAUUGUAGGUAACAACAUCUGGGGCAAUGCCUUUCUCAACCAUCUCAUGUAAAAGGUCAAGAGCUUUAUCUACCAUUUUAUCCUUGCACAAGCUGUCAAUGAUAGUGGUGUAAAUUAUGGCAGUCGGUUUAACUCUUCCUUCUUUACCCAUAACUCUGAGAAAUUCAACGGCUUUGCCUGUGUUCCCUGCCUUGCAGAGUCCAUUAAUCACGGUUCCAAACAUGACCCCAUUGGGUUCACAUAAUUUUUCACAGAUGAUCUUCCCAAACAAUUCUUGCGCCCGGGGAACCAUGUGCUGUCGAAAGAGUCCCCUGAGCAAAGUGUUAAAGGUGGUCACAUCAGGGACAAUACCGUACUUGAAGAAAACCCCCAAUAUACAAAAUCCCAAAUCCACUCGAUUCAAAAGGCAGUAACAAUUGAUCACAGUAUUCAGGGUGUAAUCAUCAACCUGAAUGCUCAAGAAGUACAUAUCUUUGAAAACGCAAAUAGCAGGAGAAUAAUGCUUCAUCUUAACAAUACGGCUAAGGAGUUGAUUGAAGUGAAAAACGUAAGGCACAGGCCUGCUUCGAACCAUAUCAUUGUAUAAAAACAGAGCUUCUUCCAGAUUAUUGAUAUCGUUAUUAAUCAGAUUUGUCAAAACAACAGGUGGGGAGUCCAUAGCAUCAGCAGCAGAAUGAAAGGAUGAUAUGGGUUUUGAAUAGGGGUUUGGAAGGAGAAAUGUAGCGGCAGUACAAGUACUAGUAGCAGUACCUAUUUCAGCUGAUUCUUUCUGAAACAUAGAAAUAGAGACAAUAGAACCAAAAGCUCUUCUUUUUAACAUCAUGGUUGUCUUCCUCACCAUAAGAUUGUUAAUCAGGGAGAAGAAAGCCAGAAUCUUGAAAAGAACACAACAAGAAGUCUGAGGAGGGUCAUUUAAAUUUACAAGAAGGAAACCCUUUUUCAGUUUAUUGGAUUUGGAGCUGUGCAAAUUUUUACUGCCUAACGUGCAUUUCAAAUUGUAGGGUUCCAAACAAACAAGGCUCUUAACUUAACAGUUCGGGAUCGAUUUAAACCCAAUUUCAGACAAGUUUGAGUCCUGGCUGGAACAAGAACGGAUUGUUAAAUUUGGACAGGAGAUUGUUUAGAAUAAAUUUUCAAAGGGAUAAUUUCAGAAACCUCCGAGGUUUCUGAUAAUUGCAAAGACCUUUCCUCAACUUUAUUAAAUUACGCCUGCCUUCCUUGCUUUUACUGUUUAUAAAAUAAUAUAGGUCCAAAAGAUUUUUUUUUCUCUUAAAAAUCUUAAACUACCCUUUUUGUACAAAAAUAAAAUAAAAAUUAUUUUGCCAGUUGUUUUCUUCUAUAUUUCAACCAAACCUAUCAUACUAACAAACUAGCUUAACAAAUAGUUUAAUUUCAAAUUCUAAACCCAAGCAAUUCCAUUAUCAUAGGCAUGGAUGGAAUUAAUCAAGUUUAAGAUAAGGAAAUGCAUCAUCAUGACUAUAGAGAUUUUUAAAAAAUUCAUUUUGCCAAAAAUUUCAAACCCAAUGCCGACAUCUUCUCAAAACAAAAUAAUCUAACCUACCAUGAAAUCUUCAAAUAUGUUAACGUCUUAAAUACAGAGAAAAAACUCCAUCUCCAUAACGAAAACCACAACCAACAAUUGUCAAGUAUAAAAAAAAUAUAUAAAUGUACUUAUUAACAUCUUAAAAAGUUUUUUGGAUGAAUGAUAGACAAAUUAGCAAAUUUACCAAUUUCAAUUCCUCUUCCUCUUUUGGAAAAUGAUUGCAUUAUUUGUUCCAUUAUUAUUGUGUAUUUUUCAUCUCCUUUUAGUUUAACUAUGAAAUCAAAUUUUACUUCAAUCAUCAAAUCUAAUCCCUUAACUAAAUUUGUAAUUUGGCAAUUCUAAAGAGAAGAAAGGAGGAAUAGGAAUAUAUAGGAGAGUUUGAGGGAUCAUUUGUGGUGUGAUUGGUUACAAUUAUACAAUAGUUAGUAAUAAUUUGAGAGCAAGUUAUAAGAUGCAGCGGUUGAUGGAUGAGAACAGAGUGAUAAUAAGUGAGAGAGAAUCAUCAUUAAUUGUAACUUGUAAAUAAGAUAGUCGAAGAGGUUAGGUUUCUUUUUCUUUUUUUUCAAUCUCAUUUCAUUAUACUAUGAAUUAUUUAUUAAGUGAAGGUCAUUGUAAUCAUUUUAUUGUGAUAAGGGAGGUCAGUGUAAUUUGUAAAACUUGAGAGGAGCUGAGUGAAAUUAUCAUAAACCACAGGGGAGGUUUGGGAAAUUAUCCCAUUUUCAAAUUCUGACAGGUUUGAGUUCUAGCUAGAACAGGAAUCAAUUGUUAAGUUUGGAUACGAGAUUAUUUGGAAUAAUUAUUUGUAAAAAUCCUAUAGCGAUUUUUGUAAUAUGAGAUGCGUAACGUAUGUAAGAUAAAGAGAUAUUUAAAAUAAAAUUAGUUUAAAAAUGUGCAUACAACUCACUUCACAUUAUAUAUAUAUGCACUAGUAAUAGUUCACGUACUUUGCAUGUGAUUGUAAUAUUUUAAAAUAUAUUAUUCUUUACUAAAAAUUUUUUAUGAAAAUUUGAUCAUCAACAUUAUAAUAUAGUAUUUUUAUGUUAUUUAUUUUUGUAACCUAGUUACUUUUAAAAUUUUUAUUAAAUGAAAAGAGAUAGAAAACAUCCAAUGUAGUUGACAUAUCCCUUACGAUUAAAUUUGAAAUUAUGAACCAAAUACUUUUUUAUUUAUAGCUUGAAUUCUAACAUAUCAAAUAUUGAUAAUAUAUGAUCCAUCACGUAAAGUUUUUUUGGCUUGUACAUUCUAACAAUUGAAAUUUUAUAAAUAAAGAUAGUUGGAGUUUUUCUAUUUUCCUUUUCUUUUAUUCAUGUUUUUGGCACACUCCAGUGUGAAGCAAAAGCAACUAGUCUACUUUUGUCAUAUGGCCACAAUAUUUUUGGUUUUAGUAUUAGUUUUUUUGAUGAUCAUGGAACUAGAAUGAGAAUUGUGGCUAAUUAAUAAUUUUAAUAUUAACUUUUUGUAUAGUGCAGUGUUUUAUUUUUUAAUUGCCAACUUUUAAUUCAUAACUGCUAUCAUUAUUAUCAAUUAUUUGAACGCACUACAUCUGUCUAAUUACAAUUGUCACCAUAAAUGAAAUUUACUUAAUUUUAAAGCUUUUCAUUCGUUUAUAGUCCUAAUAACGGAUUCAUCAAAAUUUGAUUUGCUUCAAUUCGUUUAUGGUCCUAAUGACGGAUUCAUCAAAAUGAUUGUAAAAGCUUUGGAGUGUUUCAUAUCUAAAAAGUCAUAAGAAAAAAAUUACCUUAAUGAUCUUCACUUACAGGAGUUAUCCAUAGAUAUGCAGAAAUCUGAUGAAGCUCUUAAGAAAAUUUAAGUUUUUCAUUUGUCUAAUAAUAGGCACUCAGUUAUCUUGUGUUGUGUUAGGUUACCUGUUGCUUGGUUCCAGGACAAAUUAACAAUUCCCUUAUAUUACUUGAUGCUUAUUAUUGCUUUUUGUUUUAUGGUCUCUCUGGGAAAUAUAAACUAAACAAAAAGGGCCAAGCUAGCUUAGAAUGGGAAAUGACCAAAGGCUUUCGAUCCUCAAAUGGUUACAGACGGAAACAGGAUGAAGCAGAUAGUCACUCACAUAACUGCUGUUUGUCAAUCUCCUUAUAAACUCAGGCUCAAAAUCUAUUUCUUGUUUGGAAAGGGAUUUUCUAUCAAAAAAUCUCUACGUUUUCCGUGAAUACAUUUCCCAAUCAACUUUUUAUCUCACAUAUAUCAAAUCCUUACAGUACAUUUUCUACGAAACUCCAGAAAAUUGCAAUCCAAACGCAACAACUUAGGGUCAAUUACAGAAUGUAUUAUUGUUUAUAAUACAUAACAUGCCGCCUGUUAAAGCUGCAUUUCGUUGGUGAAUGCCAAAAUUUCCCACUUCUUAGUCAUACAUCAGGUCCUCUGACUACAUGGCUUUUCUUGCCAAAGUGCAUUGUGCCUGUAUAGAAAUGAGGAUCCACUUGAAAAUAGGAUGAGUAUACCCGGUGGGAUUCAUUUAUCUUUUCACAAGCACUUUCAUCGUUGAAAGGAUCUCUUUCUCCUGCAUCAUACAUACAAUUUUCAGAAGUUUCAUUGAAGAAACUUGGGCUUUGGUGAAAAUGGCCAAAGCCUCCUGCUGAAUUGUACUCAAUAGAAUUCACUUUCACUGCUAUGUGUGUCCAGAAAUAGACACAUCUGUGGUCCGAUUAGUCCAAUGCUUUGUGUCUUUAAAAGUAAGUACAUACAAAUCAAAUUGAUAACCUUUUUUGAAAAAAAAAAAAAAAAAAAUCCCCGGCAAGGGAGGAGUGGGACUCAAAAAGCAGGGAGAGUGCAGUAGAAUUUAAAUCCAAAAUCUCUAAUUCGUCGGGCUUCAAAUUUAGCCAUUAGAUCAAAUCUCUUCAAACAAAUCAAAUUGAUAAUUUAUAACAUGGUACUGAAAUUUAAUCUUUCCCAUGACACCUUUUUUUUUUCAUCUGGUUUUGUUCUUGAACUCUCUUUCAUUACUUUUUCUUUUCCCGGGGAAAGGGAUAAGAAAGAUGGAUUUGAAUAGGAGCACCGCCAAGUCACUGGACUUGACCGCCAAUACUUUUUUUACAUUGCUGCAUAGGUUGGAUGAUAACACAGAGCAGCUUAGAUGAUUCUUAAAGAACAAGUCAACAAACAAGUGAAAAACAUGAGUAUAGUAGUUUUACACCAGCAGCUGAGUCUCCUAAUAAGCACAAGUUCAACAAUCCUAAUUCUUGAAAACAACUUAAUGCUGAACCAUUACUAACUGAAAGUUGCAACUCACAAGAGUCUGAGAAGAGCAGGGAAUUACCGAAAAGGCAAUUAGAGCAGUAGCAACGUGUUGACUGCAUGACACCCACAGAAGAACACUUACCAGUAUAUUUGUCAACAAGAAGAGCUUCAGAGUAUAACAUGGAGCCUGGGGAUUCUCCAUUGCACUUUUUCGUACGUAUACCUGAGAUGAAGGCCUUCCCACUAAAACUCAUUCAACAAUGUGAAGGCUCAUAUGCCAUCCCUUUUAAGGAGUCUUAUUCAUUCCCCUUGCUGCAAGUUCAGUGUGAUGCAUGCUGCCACAGAAAUGAAAGAAUGGUACCCUACCAGAAGUAGCAUUUUGAACAAAACCAAGAAUAAUUACAAUAUGAUAAGAAGACAGCAAAAACAUGCAUCCACUGCUACUGAGAGACUCAUUAGACCUUGAAAGCAUUGACCUACAAACAGCAGACAUUAAGAUUCCAACAAAGUGCCCAAAAGUGCUACUACAAGGCUUGAUUGUUAAUAUUCUUGAACGUGGAUGAUGCAAUUACAAGACACAAGAUCACACUUCAAAACUCAGGACAGGCAAUAUGAGUACGACACCAGAAGUAGCAUUUCGGACAAACCCAGAAUAGUUUUGAUACAACAAGCAAACGGCAAAGACAUGUAUCCACUCUGACGAAGAGAGUUUAAAUAAACUUUCAAAGCACUAACCUAAAAGCAAUGACAUCAAACUUUCGCUGAAGUGUCCAGGAGAGCUUUUGAAAGGCUUGUUGUGAACAAGCUUCAACAAGAAUGAGAGAAUCAUUGAAAAGAAGACCAGACUUCCCUAUUUGAAACACCUACUUCCCAGAAAAUGAUGUUUCAGGGGCAAUAUAAGUGUGACAUCCAGGGAUCGCAAACGGUUGCAAUCAACUAGAAGACACCCUGUGCCUUUUAUUCAUGACUUCAUUCCUUAAUAUUGGCAACAAACUUCUGAAUUAUCUUCGGAAGAGAAGGAUCACUUUCACUCUCUUUUAACGAAUUUAAUAAAAUGGAAACGGUAGGUGAAUGUGGAGGGAAUUUUCUCUAUUCCAUUUCUUCAAGAUACACCAGUGUAGCAUCAUAUUUACCACCCAAAAGCAGUCCUCAGACAAUUACAUUUCACAUGAUCAUGUCUGCCAAGCAACCAUUCUCUUCCACCUUUACAAAAAGUCCUCAGCUUCCUUUAGCUAAUCUUUUGAGUACCGCCCUUGAUUCAUUGCAUUACAUGUAACAAAAUCAGCUUCCAUAUUCCAUACAUAUACUUUACCAGAAAAUGAUAUUCAGAGGCAAUAUGAGUGACAUCCGAAGAUCAUAAAUCAUUGCACUAUACUAAAAGAUACCUGUGCCUUUUAUUCAUGACUUUAUUCCCUCAUAUUGGGAACAAACUUCUGAAUUAUCUUGAGAAGAGAAGGAUCAUUUUCACUCUCUUUAACUGAAUUUAAUAAAAUGGAAAAGGUAUGUGAAUGAAGAGGGAAUCCUCUCUUAUCCAUUUCUUCAAGAUACACCAGUGCAUCAUCAUAUUUACCUCCCAAAAGAAAAACUCGGACGAUAACAUUGUACGUGAUCCUAUCUUCCGAGCAACCACUCUCUUCCAUCUUUGCGAGAAACUCCUUAGCUUCCUUUAGCAAACCUUUUGAGCAGAGCCCUUGUAUCAUGGUAGUAUAUGUUGAAACAUCUGGAUCCAGUCCUUUAAGAGAUAGGCUCUCGAAAAGAUCUCGAGCACUAUCAAGCCUCCCAAUUUUACACAGUCCAUGAAGAAUGAUGUUGUACAUGCAUACAUGUCUGAGAUCCGCUCUUUCAACUUCCACCUUGUGGAACAAAUCCAGUGCUUCCUCAAUGUGUCCACCCUUGCAUAAUCCAUCCAACAUCACACAGUAAGUGUAGAAGUCAGACAUUAUGUUAGUCGUUUGCAUCUCAUCAAACACUUUUCUUGCAGCACCAGACCUUCCCACCCUAAACAAUCCCUGCAAGACUGUAUUGCAUGUAUCAGUGCUAGGUGUUAAACCUUUACACUGCAUUUCUUCAAAAAGAUGUAGAGCAUCAUCUACUCUCGUCUUCUUAAAAUAUCCGUUGAUCAAUAUAUUAUAGUUGACACUACUUGGAACAACUCCAUUGGCAACCAUGGUGUCAAAAACUCCCCUUGCUUCAUCCAUUCGGCCCUGCAAACAGUAUCCAUCCAUCAAAGCUCCAUAUGUCACGCAAUUUGGUCGCUCACCUUGGUCAAUCAUGGUUUGAAAUACAUCUUCCGCAGCUUCUACCUCUCCUUCCUUACAUAGCGCAUCAAUGACAAUACUAUAGGUGAUAACAUUUAGAUGAAUGUGAAAAUCCUUCAUUCGAGUCAGUAAUACCUUAGCUUCUCUCCAUCUACCAAGAUUGCAAAGACCCUGGAUCAAACAAUUGUAGGUAACAACAUCUGGGGCAAUUCCCUUCUCCACCAUCUCAUGUAGAAGGUCAAAAGCUUUAUCUACCAUUUUAUCCUUGCACAAGCUGUCAAUGAUAGUGCUGUAAAUUAUGGCAUUCGGUUUAACUCUUCCUUCUUUACCCAUUACUCUGAGAAAUUCAAUGGCUUUACUAGUGCUGCCUGCCUUGCAGAGUCCACUGAUUAUAGUUCCAAAUAUAACCACAUUGGAUUCACACAGCUUUUCUUGAAUGAUUUUGAUGAACAAUUCUUGCGCCUGAGAAAUCAUGUGCUGUCGAAAGAGUCCCCUGAGUAAAGUGCCAAAGGUGGCCACAGUGGGGGCACUGCCAUUCUUGACGAAAAGCCCCAGCGCACAAAAUCCCAAAUCCGUUCGUUCCAAGAGGCAGUAAGAAUUAAUCAAGAUAGUCAGGGUGUACUCAUCAACUGGAAUGCCCAAAAACCACAUAUCUUUGAAAACUGAAAUCGCAGAAGAAUAGUGGUUCAUCUUAACAAUGCGGUCAAGGAGUAGAUUGAAGAGAGCAACACAAGGCAGAGGCCUCAUCCGGACCAUGUCAUUGUACAAUCCCACAGCAUCUUCCAGAUUAUUGAUCUCAUUAUUACUCAUAUUUGUCAAAUAUCCAGGUGGGUAUUUCAUAGGAUCAGUAACAGCAGCAGAAGAAUAGAAAACUAAUUUGGAUUUCCUGUAUCGGUCUUGAGAGACAAGCGAAACGCCAACAGUAGUACCCGAUGCUUUCCCAAAUUGAAAAGCAGAAAUAACAGCAGCAAAAGCUCUCCGUUUCAUCAUCGUCGCCGUCGUCUACGUCUUCGUCUUCAAAUUUGCUAAUCAGAUAAAACAGCUGCUUCUCUGCAAGAUGAAACUGUGAAUGGGAAAGGAGUGGUGGGUCGGUGGGAUAAUUCAAAAGCCAAUAAUACUAUGCUCAUCUUCUUCAUGUAAAUGUAGUAAUAAAGAGUUUCUUUUCUUUUUCAUCUUGUUUUCACUUUUAACGUUCUGUCGCUAAGGAAUGAGAUUUCUUUUUGGCCUUUUACAACUUCUCCUUUUGGGUUAGCUUAAAAUUGUUUCAAACUUUGCUAACUUUUCUGAAUGAAAAUCUUGGUAAUUGACUGAUAACUUGGUAAAAUCGGUGACAAGUGAUUAGUGAUAGAUGAUUAAUCUAAUACACUCUUGCUCACAUGGUGUGCCCAAUACCUUUUUACCGUAUUCUUGUUUGAUAAUACUAAGUUUGGAAAGUUCUUUUAAAAAAGAACAAAAAAAAAAAAAACUUGAGGAAAAAUCAUAUAGGUUAGUGUUGUUCAAAUGAACGGGGAGAUUUUACCGCUCUCUCGAAGAUUAUAUCCUCAAGUUAAAUUGAUAAGCAAUUAUUUUUUACUUCUAAAUUCUAACCAACAAUUACAAAUAAUAAGUUUCAAAUCUAAUUUGUAUAUUAAAAAAAUUACCAUAUAUGACAAGCUCUACCGAUUCCUUGUAGUGGAGUCUCUCAAUAUGUCAUUAUUAAAUAAAAUUUCAUUGACAAACGAAUAAAUACGAGAUGAAAUGCUUACUUUUCUUUUCUUUUUUCACAUUUCCCAGAUGGGAAGUUUAUUUUCCCGUCGACCUAUUGUCAAAGUUAGAUUAAUAAAAGAUUUUCUCUUUUUUCAAAAGAGCAGGAAUAAGACCUUUAGUUAAAAAUUAUAUAUAUAGUCAUUGAGGGAUACAAACUGAAUGAAUAGUUCCUCGAAAGAACCAUAGAACUCCUCACUCCUAAUAUUUUGGUAUCCAAAUGUUCUCUAUUUGAAAAAUAAUAUUACAGCCGUUUUUUAGAUAGAUGGAAUGUACGUGACAUAAAAGGUAAUUCAAACAACAUAUCAAAGGAAUAUGUUCCCAAAAAAAAAAAAAAAUUUUUUUUUUUCCGAACGCUCACAACCCUAACAAGCUCUCAUUAUCUAACCAACAGUUAGAAACAGACCAACACACCAAGAAUAAAGACGUGCGAAGAUAUAGAGAGAUCAGACCCUGGUGAGCCAGCUCUGCAAAAGUUCACACCUGGUGAACAUUCAUCCUUCCAGAGUGGAUCUGUCACACCAAUUCAUCAAGCAAAAAUCAACUAACAAUUAUAACUAAACCCAAAAAUUGUAAGGAUAAUGGUGGAGUUCGAUGAUUAAGCAGGAAAAAAGAUAAUCUCAAUCAGUGAGUACACCUGCAGGAUCAGAUCCAUGGACCCUUCAGAUGGAUGGGGCACUAAAUUUCUGAUGAAGCUGACUUGAUCUUGUCAAGGCAGGGUCUAGAAUGAAGGUGCAAUUAAAAUGAAGCUAUAUAACAAGCAAACUCCAGAUGAAGAAGCUUUGCCAUACAAAAGGACAUGGAAAGAAAUCUCAGAGUACAAAACAACCUCACGAUCAGCCUUUUAGAGCCAAAAAAGAAAUGUGUGUUUUUCUUUUCAUUUUUUUUUUCCAUUUACGAUCACGAAAUGAUCCAAUUCACUUCAGGUUGCCAUCCAAUUUUCUAUUAAAACUAAUUAAAAAAAAAAAAAUUAAAUGCAAUUAGAUUGCUGUUUGCAUGUCUCCCUAAUUCACCUGUGAAUUGCUCAUGUUGAAAGUUCAGUUUCAAGGAACUGAAAAGAUCUUCUCACCACUCCAUGCACACCCUUGCAGCAGGACCUAUUUUUUGUUCCAAAAUGUUAAUUUAAAACUUGGGAAGUAGAACCUGCAGGCUGCAAAGUGCAAAUCUUACAUAAUGCCCAUGGUUGGGCCCACUCCCCACAUGAACGACAACAGCAAACAAAGAGUAUUCAGAAUCGGCGUUUUCCACAGUGUUGCUCAGUUUCAGCUCUAGAGUAGAGGGAACACUACGCGAUACGACAACUUCUUGUAUCGACCAAGUUGUUCCAUGUAUUUGAAACGCUUCAGAUGGAUGACUAGAAUUUGAGGUGGCUUUUUAAUCUUCAUCCUCUUUUGAGCCUCUUGCAGGCUACUGCACUUGUCACAGAAAAACUUAUCCUCCGCAUUCAAGGUUUCUGUGGAACUGAAGUUUUUGAGACAGCUAGUGAUAGAACUAUUCUGUUCAAUAUCAAGGCUCAAGUCAAAGAAUGUCUCAUCCCUUGCUGUGACCGUCUCACACCUUAGACACCUUGUCUCAUUGGUAAGUAUUCCCUGAAAAUUCUUGUGUACCCAUGUAACCAGUGGCUCCUUGACACCAUUUGACCGACCAUUAUUCUGCCCAUUAGCAAUCCUUUCCUGAGAUGGUGGACAUUUUGCUGCUUGCGACUCUUUCUCCAGUAUAUCAACAAGUUCAUUGAGCAAGAAGUUCAAAAAUUCAUGGGCAUCCUGAUGCAUGUAGCCACGGAAAAGUUCAUUUUGUUUUCUCACUCUCUGAACAAAACGCUUUGGUGCAAUGACACCUGUUUUCUUCUUUUGUGAACUUAUCUGCGAGAACAGUUCUGCCAAACAAGUCAAGAGAUUUUCUUCUGCUUCCCCUAGAGUUUUCCCAUUUGCAUAAUACUCUAAAAAGUUGUUCCCUAAAUGGUACACACAAGUAUAACGCCUGCAAGACACUGUUGCAAUAGCAAGUAUUCCCAAAAUUUUCAAGGCCAAAAUAGCGUUCUCCUUCAGGAAACUGGUCUCCGAGGGCCUUCUCGAGCUUGGAACCCGUGGCACCCAUUACUUGGAGACCAUCUACAAGAUACCAAAACUCCUCUAUUAUUUUUCUUUUUUUUAAUCCAACAAUCUUGUUUGCUGUUGUAAUUUGCAUAAGAUACUUGACAUUUGAAAAAGUAGGCUUCUGAGAAGUCAAGAAAACUCAACUUAUUUAAGAAUGACUCUAAAGAAAGCAGGGCUCUUGUACAUUGCAACCUAAACCACAAUCAACUUAUUUAAGAAUGACUCUAAAGAAAGCAGGGCUCUUGUACAUUGCAACCUAAACCACAAUCAACUUAUUUAAGAAUGACUCUAAAGAAAGCAGGGCUCUUGUACAUUGCAACCUAAACCACAAAUGUAAUAGUAGGCUAAACAUCACAGUUUACCGUUUACCCCUGAAAAUCCCAAUUUUGAAAGUUCCAAAUUUCCCUUCCACCUUCGAUGAGAGGAUUGGAGAAUAGCCUUUUGAUUUCCAGUCUUGGACGCAAUUCUUCAUCACGUUCAUCAAGUCAAUUGCACCUUUCGCAACUAAAAUAAAAAAUCCAGCUUCAAUUGAACGGCAUAUUCCAUUUCCUAUUCCACCUAUCCACCGACGGCGGUCUCUUUCGGGAUUUCGCCGCACUUCAUCUUUCAGAUUGAUGAUAUCGUUGUGCAUCUCGGAUAGUUUCUUUUCCAAUUGUUCGUAGAGGUGCAGCGGGUCGGCAUUCUGUCUCUCCAGGGACCCAGUACUGCCCGGAGACGCAAUACCCUUGACAUCAGUCAUCCCUUUCAGUCGAUCGUCGUCGAUAGAACUGAGGUGGGACGGCUCGCCAUUCUCUCCCUCCGGAGACCCAAUCUCCUGGACAUCAGACAAUUUCUCAAUAUUCCGUCCGUCGACGAUUAAGUCCCUACGGCGGCCCACAUCCAUCAGUUGAAAGCAAAUGUGGCGGCUUUCUUGACUGCUGUAAGCCUAGGGUUUGCUGUCUUCGGGCAGUACUGGGUCCCUGGAGAGACAGAAUGCCGACCCGCUGCACCUCUACGAACAAUUGGAAAAGAAACUAUCCGAGAUGCACAACGAUAUCAUCAAUCUGAAAGAUGAAGUGCGGCGAAAUCCCGAAAGAGUCCGCCGUUGGUGGAUAGGUGGAAUAGGAAACAUUUACCUGAUGAAUGCCUAUCUACAAAGCCUACUCCAGGAAAAUGAAGGCUCAUUUCCAUUCUUUGAGUUUGUCUGACUCAUUCCUCUUAACCGCAAGUCCAGUGUAACGCUCAAUGCCACGGCAAUGAAAAAGUGACCACCUACCAGAAAUAGCAUUUUGGACAAACUAAGAAAAGCUUUGAUAUGACAAGCAAAUGGCAAAAAUAUGUAUCCAGAGAGUCUAAAUAAACCUUCAAAGCAUUAACCUGAAAUCAAUGACAUCCAGGGAUCGCAAAUGGUUGCAAUCAACUAAAAGAUAGCCUGUUCCUUUUAUUCAUGACUUCAUUCCUUAAUAUUCGCAACAAACUUCUGAAUUAUCUUCGGAAGAGAAGGAUCACUUUCACUCUCUUUUAAUGAAUUUAAUAAAAUGGAAAUGGUAGGUGAAUGCAGAGGGAAUUUUCUCUAUUCCAUUUCUUCAAGAUACACCAGUGUAGCAUCAUAUUUACCACCCAAAAGCAGUCCUUAGACAAUUACAUUUUACAUGAUCCUGUCUGCCAAGCCACCAUUCUCUUCCACCUUUAGCAAAAGUCCUUGGCUUCCUUUAGCUAAUCUUUUGUGCACAGGCCUUGACUCAUUGCACUGCAUAUAACAACAUCAGACUUCCAUAUUUCAAACAUAUACUUUACCAGAAAAUGAUAUUCAGAGGCAAUAUGAGUGACAUCCGAAGAUCAUAAAUCAUUGCAAUAUACUAAAAGAUACCUGUGCCUUUUAUUCAUGACUGUAUUCCCUCAUAUUGGGAACAAACUUCUGAAUUAUCUUGAGAAGAGAAGGAUCGUUUUCACUCUCUUUAACUGAAUUUAAUAAAAUGGAAAAGGUAUGUGAAUGAAGAGGGGAUCCUCUCUUAUCCAUUUCUUCAAGAUACACCAGUGCAUCAUCAUAUUUACCUCCCAAAAGAAGUCCUUGGACAAUAACAUUGUAUGAUAUCCUAUUUGCCAAGCAACCAUUCUCUUCCAUCUUUGCGAGAAACUCCUUAGCUUCCUUUAGCAAACCUUUUGAGCAGAGCCCUUGUAUCAUGGUAGUAUAUGUUGAAACAUCUGGAUCCAGUCCUAUAAGAGAUAGGCUCUCGAAAAGAUCUCGAGCACUAUCAAGCCUCCCAAUUUUACACAGUCCAUGAAGAAUGAUGUUGUACAUGCAUAAAUGUCUGAGAUCCACUCUUUCAACUUCCAUCUUACGCAACAAAUUCAAUGCUUCCUCGAUGUGUCCACCCUUGCAUAAUCCAUCCAACAUCACACAGUAAGUGUAGCAGUCAGAUGUUAUGGGAGUCAUUAGCAUCUUGUCAAACACUUUUCUUGCAGCACCAGACCUUCCCACCCUAAACAAUCCCUGCAAGACUAUAUUGCAUGUAUCAGUGCUAGGUGUUAAACCUUUACACUGCAUUUCUUCAAAAAGAUGUACAGCAUCAUCUGCUCUCAUCUUCUUAAAAUAUCCAUUGAUCAAUAUAUUAUAGUUGACACCACUCGGAACAACUCCAUUAGCAACCAUGGUGUCAAAAACUCUUCUUGCUUCGUCCACUCGGCCCUGCAAACAGUAUCCAUCCAUCAAAGCACCAUAUGUCACGCAACUUGGUCUCUCACCUUGCUUAAGCAUGGUUUGAAAUACAUCUUCUGCAGCUUCUACCUCUCCUUCCUUACAUAGUGCAUCAAUCACAAUACCAAAUGUAAAGACAUCUCGUACAAUGUGAAAAUCAUUCAUCUCAGUCAGCAGCUUAGUAACCUCUUUCCAUCUACCAAAAUUGCAAAGACCCUGGAUCAAACAAUUGUAGGUAACAACAUUUGGGGCAAUUCCCUGCUCCACCAUCUCAUGUAAAAGGUUAAGAGCUUCAUCUACCAUUUUAUUCUUGCACAAGCUGUCAAUGACAGUGCUGUAAAUUAUGACGUUCGGUUUAACUCUACCUUCUUUAACCAUAACUCUGAGAAGUUCAACGGCUUUGCCAGUGUUCCCCACCAUGGUGUCAAAAACUCUCCUUGCUUCAUCCAUUCGGCCCUGCAAACAGUAUCCAUUCAUCAAAGCACCAUAUGUCACGCAAUCUGGUCGCUCACCUUGCUCAAUCAUGGUUUUAAAUACAUCUUCUGCAGCUUCUACCUCUCCUUCCUUACAUAGUGCAUCAAUCACAAUAUUAAAUGUAUAAACAUCUCGUACAACGUGAAAAUUAUUCAUCUCUGUCAGUAAUACUUUAGCUUCUCUCCAUCUACCAAAUUUGCAAAGACCCUGGGUCAAACAAUUGUAGGUAACAACAUUUGGGGCAAUUCCCUGCUCCACCAUCUCAUGUAAAAGGUCAAGAGCUUCAUCUACCAUUUUAUUCUUGCACAAGCUGUCAAUGACAGUGCUGUAAAUUAUGACGUUCGGUUUAACUCUUCCUUCUUUAACCAUAACUCUGAGAAGUUCAACGGCUUUGCCAGUGUUCCCCACCUUGCAGAGUCCAUUAAUCACGGCUCCAAACAUGACCCCAUUGGGUUCACACAACCUUUCACGAAUGAUCUUGAUGAACAAUUCUUGCCCCUGGGGUAUCAUAUGCUGUCGAAAAAGUCCCCUGACUAAAGUGCUAAAGGUAGCCGCAUUGGGGACAAUGCCAUUCUUGAAGAAAAGCCCCAGCGCACAAAAUCCCAAAUCCGCUCGUUCCAAGAGGCAGUAAGAAUUAAUCAAGAUAGUCAGGGUGUACUCAUUAACUGGAAUGCCCGAAAACCACAUAUCUUUGAAAAUGGAAAUCGCAGAAGAAUAGUGCUUCAUCUUAACGAUGCGGCCAAGGAGUUGAGUGAACUGAAUAACAGAAGGCAGAGGCUUGAUGCGGACCAUAUCAUUGUAUAAUCCCACAGCAUCCUCCAGUUUGUUUAUGUCGUUAUUAAUCACAUUUGUGAAACCCUCAAAUGGGUAUUUCGUAGCAUCAGCAGCAGAAUGAAAAGCUAAUUCACCAGUAGCAGCAGCAAUAGUGCCUGAUGCUUUCUGAAAUUGAGAAAUAUAAACAGAAGCAGCAGCAGCAAAACCUCUUCGUCUCAUCAUCGCCGCCGUCGAGACCUGUGAUUUCCGGCAACUUCUUUAAGAGAGAGGAGUAAAGAGGAAAGGACUAAGGAGGGUUGAGUCUUGGCGGGUGUGUCGUUCAAAGUGGCAAAGUCCACCGAAAAGGAUUGAUAUGGUUGAGUCUUUGGUAUAAAAAAAAAUUAAUUCAAAGACUGAAUCAGAACAACCCUUUAAUCGGGCUAUAUACCUAUUAACUACUUACUCAACCUCUUUUGGUUAGGAAAAGCCCAAUAGCCCAAAGUAAAGAUAUCGGGGUGAGAGCAUUCUAAUCUGAUUUUUUUUUUGGGGGGUUAAAUUUUCAAAUUUCAUUUUGAUAACAUUGGUUGAAUUGACAUUUAUCAUUUUGAUGUGUUUACCAGGAUGAAAACACUGUAGUAGUUAAUUUGGAAAAUGCUCAAGAAUAAUCAUAUCAUUUUUAGUUUGGAAUUUGUAGCAAGCAAUAAGUUAUUGUAUUCCAUUUUGUUUGAAUUAAGAAUUAAUCUUUUGACAGAAAACAUUAGGAGGAGCGAAGUGCAUGUAAACAAAUGCAAAACUUGAAGUUGAAAUUGAAAUUGAGAUUUAUUGUCGACCAAAUAAUGUAUAUAUUUUCACACGAAAGAUUAAUUUUCAAAUUCAAUGGAUAUAUACUUUUGUACGAAAGAUUAAUUUCUAAAUUAAAUUAAUUGUAAAAUACGUAUGAGCGAAUCGUCUUAAUUGAAGUUCGAACGCAUUUGUUUUUUAACUUCAUGUGUUGAAUUUCAGAUUCAUUUGUUCUUGACCUUCGUUUUAUUUUAGGGCAGAUAGGAUUGUAAUGCUGGUUUAAAAAAUUAAGUGAACUUUUAGAAAAUAUUAUGGUCCUCUUUCGCUCCAAAAUAUCUUUCAUCCGAAUGAAUCGCUGCACCUAUGCAGAAGCUUUUUCUUCUAGUAAUUGGCCACGAUUGAAAUCGUUGCUGGAGGGGGAGCUGCUAUUCAUCUAGGACAAAAUAUAUGAUCCCAAAAAAAAAAAGAAUUACCACACGUCACAAACUUUGGUGUUUUUUUUUUAAAAAAAAAAAAUUGUUUUCAUUUUUGGGUACAUUGAACUACUUACUGCAUUAGAGUAUAGAAAAAGGGAUUAUUGGCCAUAUGAUUAAGAAACAGCCAUCACCAAGAAUAUCAUAUCAUGAUUUGGGUCUGAGUUCUAUGCCCUCAACAAUAAGGCCGCCUUUAAUGUGCUGACCAUCAACCUCUCUUAGGCACAUUUUCACCUCCUUUUCACUUCCAUCAUUGUAAAACUCACCCAAUUCAACCUCCAUCCAUCCAUCUUCCCUCUCAUGCAGGAUUCUUUCAUUCCUUUCACAGAAUCCUGGUGUCACUACCUCGUCAAGUGUCCGCAACAAGCAAAUGCUACACUUCUUGUGCCUGAGAAGAGUUAUGCCCCAAGAUUUCUGGUCCCCAGCAUCAAUGAUAACCUCCAAGGGAUAUGAAUGUAGCCCAUAUGCACGAUUUGCAAGUUUAACCACCAAGUAGGCUGCGUAUGUUGUCUUGGGUGACAGCAUUCGAGUGUUGAUCUUUCCAGUGAUAUCCAGCCAUGUUACCAUUAUCAGCUCAGCCACUUCAGGGAAUCUGUUGUCGGCAUAUAUGCAAAUAGGACAAUACAUACAAGGGAGAAGCUUUCAAUGAGUGGUGUGGUGUAGAGUUUUCUACUUUGAUUAAUUAGGAAUCUGAAGAAGUAUUUACCUUGACGGAAGAAAGGGUUUCCAGCACCAGUAAAGAUGAUUACUGGACCACGUUAUUGAGAGCUCCCUUGCACUCAACAUGUAACAUUUUUUGUUCGCAAAUUUGUCUAUCCAAAACGUCUGCAUUUGUCACAAGAUAAGGAAAUCAGCAUCAAUGACCAUCCAACAGCAUCACCAUUCUCUGUGAAUGCGGACUCUUUCCAAGUAAACGGUGCAGAUUUUGGUAAAAGAAAACGGCCAUGAUAAAGGGUUCCCACCGGGAUAGCGUGCAGGACAUAUAUAUACAUAUAUAUAUAUAUAUAAACACACACACUGUCACACAUACUUAGAUACAAGGUAUUAUUGUUCCUCAAUCAAUUCUUGCUCAAUUACUUCUGAUAAACAAGAGUACCUGCUAAACACUUGUUAAUAUACCUAAAUCUCAUCUAAGCUAUUACUAUAUGAAUUCCACGCAUCAAAAUUUCUGUCUGUCCCUUAUAUUUAUACACUUUUUUGGAUUCAUUUUAUUUUGCUUUUCCAAAAAAUUAACGCCUAUUUUAAUUUUACACGUGUUCAUCAAACACUCACUAGAAGCUUGGAUCAAAGAAAACAAGAAACGGAAAAUGAAUGCAAGAGCAAGAUUAAAGCAUUUGUUACAUGAAAAAAGCAGUGGAUGAUAUUAUCUCGGAUGAUCGAUUAUGGCUUAAUAAUUGUAUUAAAAUUGUUGGCCCACAUGAUGUAGUUGAUUGAAAACAAAAGCAAAAGCAAGAAGCAAUCGUGAACGUCAAAAAAAAAAACAAAAACAAAAAAUGGAGGGUUUGAAUAUGCACUAAUGCUUUGACUGAUGAACGGUGAUGAUACCUUGUUGCCACCAUCAAUGAGGAGAGGGUGAGAGAGCUUAAGAAACAGAUCCUUUUUUGAUUUGAACUCCAAUGGAGAAACCAAUCUUGAAAGAAUAUCCAGGUAAUCGGAUGGCAAGAAUUUCUCCCACAAAACUUCAGAUUCAGCUGCAUCACGGAUCCCAUUGGAGACCAGAGACGCCUGACAUGCAACUCGCGGAGAUGUGCGAGAGAGCACUUGAACUAUACAUUCUUCCGGCAGAAGUUCGAGGUUCAUUUCUGACAUAAUUUUGCCAGCCAGAGAGAUAUUUGCCAAAAAAAAAAAAGUAAAAUUGGAAGCACGGAGGAAGAGAUGAUGAUGAAGCUAGAAACUUGUGAAUAUGGGAGGAAAUAGUCAGGCCCUUUAUACAGUAAAGCCAAGACUGGAGUCGGUUGUUGUUUGCGGGUUUUGUUGUGUCGAGAAAAUGGUGCACAAAUGACGACAUUAGGAGGACACAAUGGGGAGUUUUGUUGUGUCGGGAAAAUGGGUCCACAAAUGACGACAUUAGAAAGACAUCACGUCAACACCACAUUUGUUGUACGCUAUAAAAAAAAGAGUGGGUCAAGAAAUCUGGAUGGCCCACGACCGUUUAUUAAGCUUGUAGAUUUUUAGCCGUCUGACUAUUAAGUGUAUAUUUGUCAUCUUUUUGACUAAAGAUAAUUUUAAAAUCUUCUCCUGAGACUUUUGUUAAUAUUACUUGACAUUUCUAAGAGUAUUGUGUUCGCAGCAAUUUAAGUUUGAAAGGUUGAACUUUGAUUAUCACCGCAAAUUAGGGCAUGCUUUCGAGAUUAUAAGUCAAACGCAUAAUUUUUUUGUUAAAAAGUAUUUCAUCCUUACCAACUGAACUAACUUGUAUUAGCAUGAAUUAAACCGUUACUUCUAUAUAUAUAUAUAUAUAUUAGGCAAAAAAUGACGAACUAAAGUGUCACUAUGAUAAAUUUUGAGGAGAAAACUUUGGAAGAAUAGAAUUUAAUCUUCUAAAUAAUACAUCCAAUGAAUACAAGAAAAUAUUUACAUUUUUUGUGAACACAUUUUAACCUCACAUAUUACAGCACAUUUUUUUACAAAACUCCAGAAAAUAGCAACCCAAAACAAGCUAUUGCUAAGUCUUGGUUUUUGUCUUGAUAGACAAUACUAUCUAAAUUUAGCAUAAUUAUUUUUAACGUUACACGUAGAACGUUGUCAUUUUUUCACGAAAUGGUUGUUUAUUUUUCAAAGUAUUUUCGGCUGUCUAAGUUGAAAAAAAAAAAAAAGGCUGUCUAAGGUAAUAUGCCUCCACAUUUAGAAGGAUAUCUCUUUGAAUAUAAGUCGUAAUUUAGCCAUCUCUUGGGUUAGAUUCAAUGUGGUUGAAUUACUGAGUGGUAAUAUGUUGAUAUAAAUUCUCAGGGGAAAAAGUGGACAAUUGCUCCUUCAACUUUCAAAAAUUAAAUAUGAAGCUUGCAAAUUUUUAUAAAUUUCUUACUUUUAUCUCAUUUUUACAUCCCUAAAUUUUACAAAAUUUCUUAUUACUCUCACAUUGCUCCCACUAACAAUAUAACAAUUUUUCAUUAUCCUAUUUGAAAAGUUAAAAAAAUACCGCUUUGAAUUAAAAAAAUUCAAAUCUUUUGAAACAAAGCAGAAUUUAAAGUUAAUAUAAUCUUUGUCUAACAUCUCUUCUGUGUAGCGAUAUUGAAAACUCAAACAAUAUGUUAUUAAUCUAAAAACCUGUUCGAUAACCCAAUUGAAUAGUUAAAUUUAAUGGGUUCAAAUCCAUCCAGAUUGGCCAUUUUUUCAAAAAAAAAAAAGUUUUUUAAAUACAAUGCUACAGUAAUACACAAUAACUCAAAAAACAUCUCAUCCAUAUAAUAUGUCAAAUUUUUCAUAUACACUGCUACAGUAAAUUUUUUCAAAAACAUCCCAAAUAGCUAAUCCAAAUGGAGCCGUUAACAUGUUUAGAUGUGUUUGACAAUAAAAAAUAGAACAUCUGAAUUAAUUAAGUGGCAUUGAUUUUCUUAGAUAAAACUUGAUCCCAAAAUUAAAUAAUAAAUUAUUCACUUAUCAUUUAAUGUGAAAUACACUCUAGUGUAUCAGAUUUAGUACUUAACAAUUCAUAACUUGAUGAAUUCAAACUUCAGACAUCAAGUUAUGAAUUGGCACCCUAAGUAAAUUUUGGCACAUGACUCCGUCAUUGUAUACUAUCAUUAGAUAAUUGUGAUCUUAUUUGAAAAAAAAAAUCGACAUUCAUAAGACAACAUUUGUACAUUUUUUUUUGUAGAAAUCAUUAUUUUAUUCAUAAAAUCUAAUAGCAAAAAAUACAUUAUCAUCAAACAUGUUACAGAAACAACAUAUUUGAUUACAGAUACAUCCAAUUUGAAAAAAUUACAAUGUUACAUCGUAAAUUACCGUGUAUAUAUAUAUAUAUAUAUAUUUAUAUAUAUUGGUCCUUAGUAAACAACGAUUGGAAUAUUGACUAGAGAGUAGUAUACUUUGAUAACGUCAUUUUUCCUCCAUCAUUGCGUUACUGGUUAAUUUGAAGAUUUUAUUAUGGGAGAGGAAAAUAUAUAUUUCUUUGCAUAAAAGGGGAAAAAUAGCUCCCGUCAGUAUUUAUCUUGUAUUUUUCUACCGUAUCGGUCACGGAACAAAAUGAAUGAGCCGUCAUUUCAUAAAUCAUACUCCCUCCGUCCCACUUUGAUAGUCCUGUAUUCCUUUUUCAUCUGUCCCAAAUUGUAGUCCACUUUCCAAUUGAAGAAUAUAGUUGUAUUUUAAUUUUCCUAAAAUACCCUUAUUCUAUGUAAGUAGUUGUUACUAUAAACCUACCCCAUUUAAUGAGAGUUGAUUCUUUUUUUACCAUCAAUUCAAGUUUCCAUAAAAUUGUACCAUAUUUAAUGUGAGGGUAUUUUAGGAAGAUAGCAAUCUAAAUUUACUUUUCCAACAAAGUUAACUACUUUUUCUUAAACUGUGUGAAAAAAGAAACAGACUAUCAAAAAGUUGUACUAAAAUGCUAGUGAUAAGAAGUUGUAGGAAAGAAGGUGCUAAUUUCUUGACAACAAUAAUUACUUCAAUUAAAUUAAGAAUCUUACAAAAUAUUUAAGAAAGUGAAUAAUUUCCCAGGGUCUCUUUCGAAAGUCGGGUUGCGGUAUAUGCACGUUUCUCUUUGGUUGGUUAAUCUCAUUUUCGCAUUUCUCAACUUCUUUUUUUUUUCAUUUUGUGUUUUGGAUAGAAUAUUAUUUAAAAUAUUAUUUGACAUAUUUACUGUAACACUUUUUGUAAUCUGAUGCUUGUGAGAUGAAAAAGUGGUUAAAAAUAUAAAAAGGUGAGUUGAAAAAUAUAUUUGUGAUACAAAUGAAAUAUUAUUUAAAAAAAUGCAACUAUCCAAGCAGUUGUAAUUGAAAUUGUACUAAUGUAGAAUUGACAUUCAAGUUAUCAUGUCGACAUUUCCUAUGUUUCAUACAAGACUUUUCUUUUCUUCUUUUCAGGUAAGACAAUAAUCGAGUAUCUAUUAUUUGGAUAUAUAUAUAUUACAUAAUAAAAAAUAUUAAAUAUUAUUCUAAAUAAUUUUUUCAAAUAAUCUCCUAUGGGAGUCGUCGCUUUCUACUCCGGCGACCGGGGCGGUGAUGUUACAAGAACUUGUCCUAGUCAGUUAAUGGAGACGCAAGUGUUCGUUGUCAACUCUUUGCCCGCAUCAAAAUAGCACCAAAGGAACAAACUUUCGCAAGAAAGAGCAAUGACAGAAAAGAAAAAUUGCUGCGCUUUCUGUUAACACAUUUUCCAAUCACCUUUUUACUUCACAUAUAUCAAUCGGUAUAGUAAUUUUUCUAUAAAAAAAAUCCAGAAAAAUACAAUCCCAACAAGGGCUAAACUAUCCAAAAUUAAAAGUGGCAAAAAAAAAAGAACAACUAGAUUUUCAAAUGGUUCCUUAAAUUUCAUCUGAUUGAUUUAACUUCUAUGUACAAGCUCGAUAUGAAAGCCGGAAAAAGGAUGCCCUGUAGAUAUUAUAAAACUUCUAUGGUUCCUUUUUUGUGUCUUUCAAAUCCUUACCUAGACAAACAGAACAAUGCCCAAAAUUUAACACUUGAAAAGAGAACCAAAUUGCACCAGAACAAAUGU
Molecule: long non-coding RNA, 46612 nt
Filed under: Coffea arabica (coffee)
Lineage: Eukaryota; Viridiplantae; Streptophyta; Magnoliopsida; Gentianales; Rubiaceae
Description: long non-coding RNA (CARA_LNC001994)
Source: RNAcentral